AACCAGACUAUAGACUGCCCUGACUUCUGUGACCCAGCUUGUCCUUAUAAUUGCUAUCCUUACUCAGACUACUAUUUGCUACCCCCACCUCCACCACCUCCGUUCUUGCCCCAAGAACAUCACUUAUCACCAUAUGUGAUCAUCAUAGUUGCUUUGCUAGCCAGCUUCUUCCUUAUUGUUAGCUAUUAUGUUAUUGUGGCCAAGUCUUGUUCUGGUUGGUGUGGUUCCAGGAAUAACACGGAGCCCCAGGCUCAGGAAGAUGAUACAGAUGAAGAGUUUCUUGAUGAGAACCGGGUUGAUCACCCGAUAUGGUUCAUUACCACCAUCGGCUUGCAACAGUCAAUUAUAAAUUCAAUCACAGUUUGCAAGUACAAGAAGGGAGAGGGACUAAUUGAAGGCACUGAAUGCUCAGUUUGCUUGAGUGAAUUUCAACAAGAUGAAACUCUUAGGCUAUUGCCUAAGUGCAACCACGCCUUUCACAUCUCUUGUAUCGAUACAUGGUUGAGGUCUCACACUAAUUGCCCUUUGUGUCGUACACAUAUAAUCAAUGGUCCAGCUAGCACUCCCUUGAUUUCGGUGGGUCAGAACCACGAUAACUUGAAUCCAACUUUCAGUACCCAGAUGGAGAAUUCGGAUGUUGAUAGUGGAUUGGGUAAUAAUCAAGAGAGUAACGAACCUUGUGAAAACAGAGCUGGAACAGAGGAGGUAGGUGAAAUACUGCAGGUUGGUGAGGAAAGAACUUUGAAGGAUGAAGUAAAUUCUAAUGAUAUUGGUGAUCUCCAGGUGCUUUGUAGCUCCGUUGAUAAACACCAGGCUGAGGAUAAUGAUAUAAAGCUGCUGAGGAGGUCUUCUUCAAUGGAUUCUUUGAGAGCUACAACUAUGUGUAUUGGCCUGAAUGAUCAUAAGAACCUGGUUAAUCAGAUUGACAUUGAUGAGGAAAGAAAAUCAAAUAUGGUUUUGAAGCGAGAUGGUGGGUAUUCAAGCGUGUUUAAACUGACUGGUACUUCUUCCUUUUCACUAAGUCUUCAUAAAGGUCCUGUUUCCAUGAAAAGAUCAUUCUCGUGUGGGGGAAGGUUUUUCUCUUCGAGGCAAAACCCAAGCCUGAAGCCAAUUCUUCCCUUGUAAAUUCAAAGACUUCGCUCUUUUUUGGUACGUAUUUUCAUAUGAGAUAUCUGCAAAACGGAGAUUUCUCUUGCACUCCAAAUAAGUUGGGGUUCUUGGAGAUAAAGAGGUGAGCUAGAAAAUGUCUCUACUUACAUAUUAAUAUGUUGAUAUGCACCUUGCUUCUGUGUUUCACGUUCUGAAGCAGAACUGGAAUAAGUUUCUAUAUCACAAAAAUUGUGAUUUAACUGAUGCCUUGAAGGAGAAGGUAUCACUUCCACCAUCAAGAACUCAUUAUGUAGUUCACCUUUUAUCAGAAAUCCCUGAGGGGAUGUAACUCUUGUUUCUGAAGAAAUGAGGUGAUAGAUCCGGUAUGCAAUCUUUUAAAUCUGUCUAUUUGACAAUAAUGGAUGUUUGCAAGUAUCACAGUGAUGUUUCAAGCUGAGAUACAUCUUACACAAAGAAACUAGCAAUAUCAAAAAGAGAGUUCUUGAGGAAUAGACCAUUUAUGACAUUAAGGUACAAUUAUACGUUUAAAUAAAAACAUAAAUUUGAGGUGAGAAAUAUGCAGCCAUAGAAUGGUAGGAUAGUUCUUUAAGAAGAGUUUAUUAAAGAUGCUUAUAAAUCAAUACAGGUGAUUUCUAUGUAAACUACAGGUAAAAAGAAUAAAAAUAUAAAAGGGGAUAGUAAUAAAAAACUCUAAUUUUAAAAAAAUUUAGAUAAAGAGUUAAUUAUAUAAUAAAAAAUAGUUAUUGUCAUAUAUAACUUAUCUAAACUAUCAUUGUUAUUUUUUUUUAAUGAUAAACGUGUCUAAUAUACUUACGUAAUAUAUUUAUGUUUUUAUUAAAGGUAAAAACCACAAUGAUCCAAAACAAUGAUUUAGAAUCGGUGCCUAUAGAAACUUGAUAUAUCCUCACUAUUUCAACAUGAAUGUUGGAUCUAAAAGGAUGGUGAAUAAAUGAUAGUCAUAAGUUUUUUCAAGAUUAUAUUAAUUAAAAUGGAUUCAACAUCUACCACUUAUAUUUAAUGAACCAAUGUGAGAUUGAUCUGAUUCAGUUCAAAUUUACCCAUAACAUCAAAGAAAGAUGCUCUAAAAAUAAAAAUACAAGAUAAAUUCAUCACACACGCAUGUCAACAUGAACCUAUAAAAUUCACUUUCAAGUAACAAAUGAAUAUGAACAAAUAAAUAUCAUCAUUAAAAUUUUAAAAAUAUUUAUAUUUAGUUUUAAAAAUAAUAUUGUCGUCAUAAGCCACUUCAUCUUUUGAAAACGAUUGACUGAAUAGCUGGAAUAAUAGUUUAGAAAAGUAUUAUUGAGGGCAUACUUGAAUUCAUUGAUUUAGAUUCACAAUAAAAAAAAACAUUGUUAUUAUUAUUAUUUAGAAAAAUUAUGAUUUGGACAUGAUAAAAUUAUGUUUUAAUUGAUUUAUUUUCUGCUUCUUAUUAACCUAGAAUAACGAUUAGUGAUAAUUCAUUUAUUUUUGGUAACAAAAUAUGCAUCCAAUAACAACACCCAUAUUCAACAAUUCAAAAACCACAUCUGAAUCACAAAAUAAAUCCACAGACAAUCUGAACACCGUAAACACCAUGAGCUUUCAUUAUCAUCCACGACACAUUGUCAACUAAUUACAUUAGUCGCGAAACAACUGGAUUGCCCAGAUUUAAUCAGCCUAUACUUUUAAUCUGUGGUUUUUUUUCCCUUCACCACAGUCUUAGUUUGCCAUACCGAACUCGUCCUAAGAUAGAGCAUCUCCGAGGCAUGUGUGUAGCUCCUCCAAAUUCAAUUGAAAUGGAAAAAUAAAUUUCGGUGAUCUAAAGGGCUUAAAGUCUAAGAUGUGCGUGGUCUUUUAAUUAUAUUUUUCCUUACCCUUUUUCCUCCUUAACGAUUCCGAGCUCUCAAAAAACAAGUGAUCAUAAUUUAAACCUUUACUAUCUCCCGGCUAGUUGGAUGCUAAAAAAACAGUGUACAAGAUUUUAUUUAUGGUCAAAGAAACUUGGGUUAGUCCAAUAUAAAUCUCAACAAAUUAAGCAAUGUAUUAUACAUCAAAUCUUUUGUUAAUUAAUUAUACCCAAAGUCAAGAUCAAAGUCACUCUUUAUAGUAACAUUUUGAAAAAUGGUAUGCACUUCCAAUGUAUCACAGCUAUUUGUUAAUGUGCUAGGAUAUUCAACACCAAACCUUCCCUACACAGCUAUGCUUACAGUGCAAAUGUGAUUUACGUCAUUUCCCAGUUUUCCUUUCUCAUCACCGAUCAUAAAAUCUUUGGCAGACUUUAGCUUCACGGUGAAGGCGAUGUUCGAAAUCCUACCUUUCAAUUUUGCCUAACAAAUGCUGGCUAAUUAAUGACAAUUAGUCAAGACCUAACUUUUUGUCAAACUUAACAUUUCACACGGCAAGAUGCUGAAGCUUCAACUACCAUAUAUGAUCACAAGAACAUUUCAAAAAAAAAAAAUCAACCGCGUUUUCAAGUUCUUAUUUUUUAAUUAAACACACUUUUGUAUAUUUGAAUCCAAAGCUCCGAACUAAGGUAAUGAAGACGAGUCUUCUAAAAUCGAAGUGCAAGAGAAUGCUCGCAACUUAUUCAUGAUCUAAAAUUUCUAUGAAACUCAAGCUGUAAAUACCAAUACUAAUACUUUAUAACAAUAUUUUUAUCCUUUUCAAAAUUUGGUUUUUAAUUCUCUCUUUUUUUUUUUAUGCCUAUCUAUCUCUUAUAUGAUAAAUAUUAAUAAUUAUUGAUUAAGCUAAAAAGUUUUUGGUCCCCGCUACCAAAAAAAGAAAGGAAUCUACAAUAAUGGGCCUACCCUUUGCUGGGCUUCGAUCCAUGACGAAAAAGAUUUGCGGCCUUUUCAAUUACCUUUUCGGGGCCGGUUAUUAUUGGUUAACCAUCUAAUCGAACAAGGAUAGCUAGAAAUUGUAAAGUUCUUUCUACAUCAUAAGAACUUUGCGAAAAGAAAAUAUUUUUUAUUUUUAAUUUUAAUUCAUGAAGACAAGCUGGGAUUUGAGGCUUCUUGUUUAUGAGGAAGAGGAAGACACGUACUAUUGCAUCAAAUUGGAACUUUCUUAGCCUUUUAAGUAAAAGAGGUACUAAUUUAACAAUAUGCUAGUGAAUGGAUUUGUAAAUGCUUUUGUUUUUCCCAAAGUCGAUUGACUUAACUAUAUAUUAUACAAAGAAAUAGAGCCACGGUCCGCCUCCUACAUGCAGCCUCAAGAUCGGUUAGAUUAAAUUAAUAAUUAAUGUUAACAUCUAGUAGAUAUACUUGUAAACUAGAUUGAUAUGUCCUAAUCUAAAAAAGAGUUGGACAAUUGAAGUGGGAUUUCUGACAAAAUUAAUAACUAAUUUCCUAUAAUUUAAACAGUGUGGUAUGUUAUUGAAAUAAGAUAUAUUGAUAUUCAAGAUCCAUCAUAACAUGGUUUUGUCUAUGUAUUUUACCUAUAAUUUGAAGUUUCGUAAGAUUUUAAUUCAACUGCAGCCACUAGCCCCAAUUGUGAGUCCUGCCUGCCCUUCAAUCCUUUGAAAUUGAAAUUCUCAAGACACAGCUAGCCCCACCGGUCCUUGCACAUUGCCAGAUAGAGCCAAAAUAGAGGGAGGCAGUGUAUGCAUCCCAACAGUAUCAAGAAGCUUUAUUACUCUUUCGUAGAAAUGCAGUCGUAAUGAUGGGGGGAACAUCGUACCUGUUCUUGUGGCCGCCAUUGUUUUACAAUCUUGAGGAUUCUUUAAUCGGCAAUCAUUUUAUACACGAAACUUCUUCGAUCCCACCGGAAGUAGCACUUUUGUCAUUUAAAAGUAUCCCCGAUGGCACCCAAUUAUUAAUAAUCUCAUGGCAAGCAUGGUCUCCAAUAUUCUCCCAUAAUCACGUAGUUACAAGAGGCUUUCAUCCAUUGCGGGACCCUGAAUAUUGACAUCAACAUUGCAACAUAGCCAACAAGCAUUUUAAAUAUUUAAAGCUAGAGCACCAAUCAUCAGAUCAUAAAAGAAAAAAAACAGAGCUUGGGUUCUUACGAAGUUACACGGUAGCUAGCCUCGUCUUUCUCCCUGUAAGUCCUUUCGAGCGCUACUUUUCCCCCUAAAGUGAGAACGAAAAUCUAAUGGAUUUCUUCACCGUGCGAAUAUGGACAUUCGGCAGUAUAAGACAAGUAUGGGACGUGGAUCUAACGUGCAUAUGUUGAAAACCCACGUACUACAUGCCUUGUCCAUUUUAUGAUUGAUCCUUAGAUAUGUGGCCCACUACAUCGCGGGUUUGUAAUUUUCUUCGUGUAAAACCAAUGUCGAAUUACCAAAAUCAUAUUUUGCAGAUUUUAUUUUAAUCAGACAAUAAUAACAAACGCACAAAUCUAGAAAGAAAAAAAGAACACAAUAACCAGAAAAAAAAAACAUUUUGAAAUACCUAAUUAAACAAAAAAAAAAAACUCAGGUUCGAGUCAGUUCAAGAUAACAUGAUAUAUAUAUAUAUAUAUAACCUAGUUAAUAUGAAAGAGUCAACUCGAGUUAACCUGUAAAAUUCAUGAUCCAGAUUAUGAGAUUGGGAUAACCUGAUAAAAAAAAUUUUAAAAGUCAUUUUUCUAUAUUAAAAAAACUAAUGUCAAACAAUAAUAUUAGAAAAAACAUAAUAAGCCAAAUUAAAGGACGACAUCGACCCAUAUCAACUUUCAACAAGGUCAUUAGACUUGAAGUACCAUACAUAGAAAAAUAGUAAAACUCAUCCAUACAUAGAAAAAUAGUGAAACUCAUUCCCAACAAAUCAAAUAUCGAAUGAUGAUUAAUAUUGAGGAUAAAAAUGAAAAAAAAACAAGUACACGAAAGGAUUUAAAAUAAAAAUAAAUAUUAAUUAAAGGAAUAAGGGUGAAAAUUAAAAUAAAAAAUAUAAUAGAAGGCAAGAAUAAUUUUUUUAAUGGGGGUUAAAUUGAAAAGAAAAGAAAUUAAACAAAAAGACAAAAUUAGAAAAAAAUGAAGACCAAAUUAGAAAAAAUAAAAAUCAUAAACAUGGAUUGAAUGAUGAAAUUGCAAACCAUCAAAACUUUAAUAAAAGGGCCAAGAAAAAAAGAGAAAUAAAAAAGGUGAAUCAAAUUGAAAAAUAUUAUAUGUAACAAACAAAAAUUGAAGGGUUAAAUUGAAAAAAAAUAAAACUUUAACAAAGGAUACAAGGAUAAAAACACAAAAUCAAAAGACAAAUGACUAAAUUUGAAAAACCAAUAACAAUGUGGACCGGGUUGUAUUUUUAGGUAGGAGAGACAAAGGAAAAAAGUUGACCGAAAGAGGAUGCGAUGGCGAAUUAAAUAACAUGGUGAAAGGAAAUUUUCAAUCACAGUAAGGCACAACAUACGCCGCCCAAAAUACACAGACGCCUCCCACAUGCUAAUAUUUUUUAAAAAAUUAAAAUAAUAUUUAAUGAAUUUAAAAAGAUAGCAAUACCUUUGUUACCUUGAUAAAUAUAUGUAUAAAAAAUCUUGGUAGAUUUUUUAUCAUAUUUUAUAAUAUUUUUUUAAACCUGGGAGUAUAUAUGUAAAUUUAUUGUAUAUAAAUAAAUAAAAAGACAUCUAUAACCAAUGUUGUUAAAAUAGCUGCGAAGUUCAUCAUAAGGUAUGAUGUAUCAUGAUAAACUAUGGCAUAGGUUUCAAACCCAGUUAAAAGGAAUAGUAGAGGGCAGCGAUGCAAAAAAAAAUAGAAAAUAGCUCAAAUUGAAGGGAGAGAUCCUAAUAAAAAGAAGAAGAUGGAUAUUUUGCUCAUUCACAAUACCUUUCCUAGACUUAUCUAUAUCAUCAAUUCAUAAGACCUAGAUUGGCCAGCUGAUUUAGAAAAUACAAAGGAGAAGCUCCCUAGACUAACCAAAACUAAGAAGAAUAAAGCUAGAAAUUCUAAAAAGGUAAAAGAUAAGGUGCUCAAACAAUGAAAAGCAAAAUUCUUAGAAAUGAUCGGGUGCCCCUAAUCAGUAUCAAAUAUUAUUGCAGCUUCAAAGAAAGGUGGGAAAGUCAGGGUGUGUGUGGACGUUAAAGACUUGAACAGAGCAAGCCCUAAAGAUAGUUUUUUUUGUUACCUUAUAUUAAUGUACUUACGGAUAACGUUGCUAAAAAUUUCACAUACUCUUUCAUGGUUGGGUUCUUAGGAUAUAACCAAAUUAAAAUGAUUUAAUAAUCAUCUUCGUCACUUAUUAGGGUACUUAUUAUUACAAAGUUAUGUCGCUUUAUGAAUGACUCUACUUCUACAUGUCCCAACUCGUUUCCUAUAGUUUUAAAAGGUUUAUUUCAAAUCUAAAAGCAAUUUAUUUGUUUUGUGAUAUUGAUAUGUGAAUUGAUUUUAUGUAUACAUUUAUAAUGAUAAUUAGGGUGAUAUUUUGUUGAUUAUAUGUGUGUUGAUUUAUUGAUCUAUAUUUGUGUUUAGGAUACUUUUAUUGAUUUUGUGAUGAUUUAAUUAAUUAUGUGGAAAGUAUGCAUUGGUCCACAUUUGAUUCUCGUGUUUGAUAUGAUUAAGUGUGAUUUGUAAUUUGAGAUGCUAAAUAUCUUUUUAAUAGGUAUGAUAUAUUUUUAUCUGUGUAAAAAAAAAUUACGUUAGGUUUUUAUCAAAGAGUUGAUCAUUGACAAUAUAAUCACUCAAUGGGUUUUGUCAAUUGGAUGACAAUACUAUUUAAAAAAAAAAUUAUAGACAGUAUGAUUAUUUAACAGGACUUGUCCUUUAAAAUGUAAAAAAAAUAAUUUGUUUUCAAAUUUUUAUUUUAAAAAUAAUUAUAAAUGAAUUCGGUUUGUGAGUUGAAGAUUCUCUUUUGAUUUAUUUUUUUUCAUAUAAUAAAUCGUUAUCGCUCUUGUAAUGACAUUUAUUUUCUAAAAAUAAUGAAUCUUAUUUUUAGUUGUAAGUACUUUUAUUUAUUAAUGUCAAUAUGUACAUAUUUUUAGAAUAUUUUCUUUAGGAUAUUAUCCAUCAUGAUAAGGAAAUUUAGGUGGGGUCAACAUGACCCCAAAAGAUUUAUCGAGUGUGAUAAUUCAAGAAAUAUGUUUAAAGUUUAAUUUGUCAUUUUCCAUCUUCUCGGAUUUAACGCCCAUAUUUUCCAAGUAAAUAUUAGACCUUGUAAUCAGGCCUAUGUCCCGUCUCAUUUUCAUAGGAUUAAUAACGUUGUUCUUUUUAGUAUAAUCAAGUAUUUACUAGAAUCAACUAUUUACCUAAGAAUUUCUAAAAACAAAUUAGAUUUCUAGUUAUUAUAAACUAGAUGACAUAAAUGAAGACUUCUAAUCUACUUUUACCUCAAUUUGAUUUUCAUUGCGGUAUAGAGUAUGACACAAAAGGUAACAAAUUAAUUUGAUUGGACAUUGAUUCAAAACAUAGAUCGAAGAAUGACUAUUAUUCCAUUUCUUUGUUGUAAUUGUAAUUAUUAAUAUUAUUAACACUCGGUCGCGGUUAUAUAAAAUUAUCUUGGAGAAAUUAAAAUGGAGGGAAAAUUAAACCAGCAAAAUCCAUUACGAGAGGCAAAUUAACAACCCUAACUGCAGAACAGGUAUACAAAUUAGGUUUACAAAUCUCAGCUGAAAGCAGUUGCUUCUUCAAUCCUGUAUAGCAUGUGAUUAACAGCAGCUGCAAUCUCAUCCACUGUAUUCAGAUGACAUCCUUCUUCAACCUGUCCCAAUACAUUCAUACCCAAUGAAAAAUUAAAAAAAAAAAAUCGAAUACUGUACAGUAAAUGUGUAAUAGUAGAUGAUCAUAAUUAAUAUCAACCUUUCCAAUUAAUUGGUGUUUAAUUUUAAGGUUCUAUUAUUGGCUUAAAAGGAGAGGCAAAAAAAAGUGAUAUAAAAUUGCUCAAUAAAGAAAAAUUGACUGAUUUGACUAAAAAAUUCACUAACCUUGACACUAACUGAAUAGAGAACCAUUUGAUCAACAGUGGUGACAUUGAGGUGAAGAAUACUGAGCCUUAGGUUUUGCAACCCCACCAUCAACUUCAAGAGCUGUCCUGGCCGUUUCUUUGAUAGAAUUUUGAGAUUGGCAUGGCUCUCCACCAUUGUCACUUCUAUGUCCCCUAAAGCCCGCUGGUUCUGAUCAGCCACUGAUUCAUCUGCCGUUACCGAAGGCUGAGAUGCACGAGUCGAAUACUGUGGGAAGGUGAAGAACUCAGCAAAUAGCCGUGAAGGGAAACCAUUAUCGUCGGGUUGUUGCUUGUUCUUUUUAUUAGUUCCCAUGGUCUGCAAGAGCUGCUCUAGCUCCUUCACGAAGUUAAUGGCACCUCCAAUUAUCGAUGCUUGGUCACCCUAAGAAGAACAAAUUAAUGUAAUUAAAUUUAUUAAAAUAUGUUUGAAAAAAUUUACUUCUAAUGAAUUAGUACAAAUCCGAUCAAGAUGACCGAUUAAUCAAUAGAUGGUUAACUGUAUAAUAAGCUCCGGUGAACUUCCAUGAAAAAUUUAUUUCCAUAUAAGUGGGGAUAUGGAAUUCUUUUUUAACAUUGAAUUUUGAAAAUAGGUAAAAUAUAAUUCAAGUUUUAAUAUGCACAGUUGAAAAGGGGGGUUUGAUAUGCAAGGCGUGUGUAGGUACAUACUCUUUGAACAUAAGAAGGAGGCAUCAAAGACCUAAGCACAGCAAGAUACUCAUUCAUCUGUUUUCUACGGUUGCGUUCAACAGCAAUGUGAGUCAUUCUCUGGCUCUCAAUUUCUUCUUUAUUCUUGGAGCUCUUGGUGCGUCUCCGUUUUCUCCUGUUUGUUGUUGUCACUGGUGCAGGUUCCAUUAUUGCAGGAAACAGUAUUCCUUGGAGAGAUUGAUCAACAUUGCAAGUCCCGGGUGAAGAGGAAUUGUGAUCCCAUUCUUUUUCUUGUUGCAUCAAUGAAAGUGAUGAUGAAUCCCAGCUUGCAUGGAGACCUUGUUGCUCCAUGUUGUUAUUUUCAAGAAUCCCAAGAAAAGCUUUAUCAUCUUCUUGCAACUGAUCAAAAUCAUAGCCCCAAGCUCCUCCUCCUGCCAAGGAGUAAGAAUCCUUGCAGCCAUAAGUAAAUGGAUCUUGAGAGUACACAAUUGCCUCUAGUUCCAUGUCUACUUACUCUCUCUCAAACGCGGAAACAGACGGACCUUUUGUGUUUUCUAAUAAUCUCUCUCUCUCUCUCUUUUUCCUCACUCCAAGAGGCAGACAAACAUGAAAAGAGGAUUAGGGGUAAAGACCCACAAGCUAGCUAGUGUACUGUGUACAAGCUGGGAGGAGUCUUAUGAGUAGAGAGGGCUUAAAAGGAGGAAGAAUUAUAGUAUAAAAGUGGCGUUAUGUUUGAAGAAACCCAAAGGAACAUAACAUGCACAAACCCGAAGGACGUCUAUAUACCAAAGGACAAACGAACUCGCCUUUUUAUCUUUCUCCCCGUAGGAGAAAGCCAUGGUACUUUAGGGAUGUUUAAUUAACUAACAAAAGCUACAGCGUUCUGCACGUGAGAUGGCAAUUUGAACCCCUCACUAAACGAGAGAGAAGAGAGAUUCUCUUGGUUCUUGGAGAUUGUAAAUACUGUUUCCUGAAAAUUAACAUGGAACACACACUACUAGUGAAAAAGAAAAAAACCAGACUACCUUACUGCUGCAUACACAUCCCAAAAAAGUAAAUAUAGACGAAGGUAACGAAAGGAGAGGAUUUUGAUAAGAAAAAAAGGUGGGUCCAAAAGGUAUAUCCCAUUUUGUGAGAAGGGAACAUUAUUUUCCUAAUUAAGGGCGGCAUGAGUCGUCUUCUUUGACACCACUGUUCCUUGCAAUACGUUAAAAGGCUUGCUUGGUCCUUUCAAAGUUUCAAUAGGAUGCAUUAGUUUCUAACAAUAAAUAAAAGGAUGUGCCUAAAUAGAUGUGACGAUAGAUUCAUUUGGCAAUAAUGUGGUCGGACACUUGGUCAUGGAAAGGAGAAUAUGUCGAAAAGCUGAUAAUAACCCAGAGAUUCCGAGAAAGAUCUACAGGGGAAAGAGAGAGAGAAGGAGGACAAUUUUACCAUGUGACCCAACAAAGAGCCAUGCUCCGUGAUCAUCUACAGUCAAGACUAUGUGUCUACUUUCCCAAUGAAAGCCCUCGUUGUUCUCUUGCCGCUUCCUUAUUACACUUCCCAACUCCCAACAUAAAUUAACCUUAUUUACUGAUGCCUUUAAUGUUAAUGACAUUAGUAAUAUUAAUCACAAGUCAAUAAGACAUUCUCUAGGGUUUCCUCUCUUCUUUCUUGGGUUCUAUCCCAUAGAGCAUAAAUUGCCCCACAACGUUAUUUUAUUUGGUGUUUAGAGAAAUGUGAUUCCAUGCCAUAGGUGCUAUACACUGCCCUCUUUAAUUAAACAAUUAUCAAUGGAAGAAUAGAAAAGGGAAAAAAUAAAAACAAUCCUUAUCGAACUGGCAUUCCUUUGAAUGUAUCACCAAAAAUGUAGUUUAUGAGAUUCCUUGUCGAAAUGUAUGCUUAAUAAAAAAAUCAACUGGCUAUUUUAAUACCUCUAAUUCACUUAUUUUCUUCCUUGAGAUCUCUUUGAAAGGUACCAAAUUCCUGUUAAAAAAUCGAGAAAUACCCAUCAGCCUACUGCUCUGAGUGUCACAUUACGCUACCAUCUAGCAGUUUCUCACCCAUUCCCUUAAUUUAGUAAUUUAUGUUGUACGAAUUUAAUUGUAGCAUAAUUAUUCAAAUACACUCAGGACAAAUCAUAUGCUAGUGAAUCGCUUUUCAAUUAAUUAAUCACUCCAAUAUGCUUACGUGUGUUUUUGUUUCCUUUCCCUGGAGAAAGAGAGGGAGAACAAUAGAAAGAUUAUGCUUUUUUUAUUCAUCGAGGAAAAAAAAACAGCUCUUUCACUAUACGGUAACCAAAAUCAAAUUAAUGCUGUGACUCAUCGGGUAAAAUUAUAGCACGAAGAUCAUGUUUUUGCUAGAGCGCUAUUUUGAGGCAUCAAGUUUGGUUUGAAGGGUUUCACAUCUUUAUGAAGUUGCGUCGACCCAAUAUUUCAUGCUUGGAUUCGAAUCAUUUCCAAAAUAGUUUUGGUGGAGAUAAAUUGAUAAAUCGACAAGUUCUCCAGCAUCGAAGGCUCCUGUGAUUCAAUAAUUUAAUCGUAUUGGGUCUUUGUUCGAGAUUUCUUUUGACGUAAAAAUCAUUAGCUAAACAAGCACGUGUGACAUGCACUGGUUGUUGAAUUUCGGUCAAAAUUUGACCAUUAAUUUUAAUUAAAGUUGGCAACAAAUUGAAUCGAUCGGAGGACUAAAUCUGUAUUAGAAUCAAGGACUUAUUUAAAAAAAAAAAAACCAUAUGACUCAAUGUCACCAAAUCAUUGAAUACCAAGAUCUGCGAUGAAUGCAGAUCUCAAGGAUUUAGUUUGCAUAAAUAAGAAAGUCGCUACUUUUUUUGGGUAGUCCCUUCUCCUUCUGUACGUAGUUAUACCGUCAUAAGUCCCGGUGUUUCGGAAAACAAUCUAUGAGAUGUCGCAUGUAUUUUCUGUAGUGUAAAAGAAAAAAAAAAAAAAAAGAACUCAUAAAGGUUUCACGGACCAAAGUGAUGACCAUCUAGGUUUAUGAAGGUGGAGGUUUUGAUAUACCCAUUGACAAAUACAUAGUAAGAUUUAUUAUUAAAGAUUUUAAACUACAAUAAUAUAUGAAUUAUUUUGAUAUAUGCUUACAUGUAUUAAGAAUAAUUUUUAUACGGAUGUUAAUAAUUAUUGUGGCGCGCUACUAACAAAAUAAAAAUACAUUAAUUAAAUAAAAAUAAUUGUUUCUAAUGGUGACCUUGUAACAAUUAAUUAUGUAACUAAUAGGGAUGAAAUGAAUGAAAUCGAUAAUGGAUAAUUUAUUGAAUCGGGAAAUCAAGAACUACAAAUUAAAAGAAAGAAAAACAUUUUUCUAGGCAUAUUCGAGCACAAUGACUAAAUUGAAAGUUUAUCAAGACUCAACAUGACAUUACCUAGACUUCUAACUCAAUAAAUAAACUAGAAUUCAAUUAUUCAAAUUUGAAAUAUUUACAACUUGAAAGAUCUGGGCUAAUCUAGAGAUGAUUCUUCAACUGUUCAAAUUGUAACAAUCUAUUGUCGUUUUAUGUUGAUUAUAAGAGCUGUUACACAUGUCGCCUAAUAUUGGUACGCUGGUGAAACAUUAAUUAUCCCAUUGUUCUCUAUUUCUCAUGCAGUCCUCGUUGUACAUUCCAAUAUUUCUUUUUCAUUUCUUCCCGAAGUUUUAGCCCUUAUUGUCUUUAUAAAACUCCUCUUUCUACAAUUAACUUUUUCUCAGUCUCCAUGGAAACGUACCUAAACUCAUCGCACUCUUACCCCUAUUAAAAACCAUGCCCUCAAGUUAAGGGUAGGUUUCCCUAGGCCACUGUUUAUCCAUCCAAGUUGCAAUUUCGUUGCUUCGCCCGCUUUUUUAAGAAAAAUAUAUUGACAAUGCAGGUUCAAAAAAAAAAAUUAUGAUUUAACAAGAUAGCUCGUGUAUAAUUAAUCGAGAUGAAUGAACUUAAAGCAUUUAAAGAUAAAAAAGUAUCUCAACCAAGUUGAUUGACGAUCCCAAAAUUUAGAUUUUAAUAUAAAAUUAAGUUAUAUAACACUUUUAAUAGCUCUAAAACAUAAUAAUUUUCAACUUAUUUCUAUGAUGAAUAAGGGUGUUAGUUGUAGUAUAAUAAGGGUAAAUUGUGCUAUUAACAGAGUCGGAUCUAGAAUUUUAGUUUUGGGGGGUCAAAUUAAGGGGCAAAUUUCAAUUUUUUAUUUUAAUUUCAGGGCUAGAAAUAUAAUUUGUUGAAGGAAGUUGGAAAAAAAUGUUUCAUUGUAGAGGCUCCGACCCCUCUUGGUUCCGCCAUUAGCUCUUAAUGACUCUCAUACCUUAGCUUACCUUGUGAAGUAUUACUCUUAAUAAGAAAUUACUUAUAUGAUUGAUAAAUAUGGUCGCUUUUAUGAGAAUUUUUUUAAAAAAUAAAUUCUCUAAGGUACUUAUAAAACUAGACAUUUUUUGAGGAUAAAAUAAACAUAAUAUAAAACUAGACAUUCUUUGAGGAUAAAAUGAACAUAAUCGUGAGAACUAAAGAAAACUCUAAGAAGGGGAACUAGACGAGUAUUAUUGGCUUGGUUUGCAUAAAAUGAUGAGUAAUUCAAGAUAUUAUGCCCACUAAUAACCCGAGUAAAUCUUAUAAUACUCCACUAAGAAAUAUUCAAAGAAAAAAGUUAUUUAUCAUAUUAUAGUGACCUCAUAAUUCACUCUUUCUCUAUGGUUCUAUAUGUCUUCGUAUUUCAAUUAGUCAAUUUUCAUUCAUGUGGGGGAUUGUUAAAAAAAAUUAACUUUUAGACAUGGUUUGGUCAUAUUUGAAAUCUGAUUAAUUAGGAUUAAGACUUUAUUGAAAAUUAUUCUCCAACAUAAGUAUUAUAACAUGGAAUAUUAAAAAUCUAAAACCUAUUAUGAAUGAAUAAGAAAUUAAUAUCAAAAAAUCCUCAAUGAGUUGGCAAAAAAAUAAAAAAAAACAAAAUCCAACCAUAAAACUUUAAUUAUCCUAUAUUAAUAAGAAAUUAUUUUUUUUCUCCUCCAAGACCUAUACAAACACUAGCCUAUAUAUACCCCCACAUUAAAAACUAGAAACUCUUAUUCUCUUAUUAUGCCUAUAUAGAGAUGCUUUUGUUGAUUUAUUAAAGAUUAAUGACAAGAAAGUAUCCUUUCUUAAUUAUUUUUCUCUAUUUAUAUGGUUAUUCUAGUUUUUAUGUUAAAAGAGAAAAUGAAUCAGCUUUUUUAAAAAAAAUUACUUAAGCUUAGUGUUGAAGUGUAAUAUGAUAGUUGAAUCUUAGGCGGUAAUUUGCAUAUAUUGUUUGCAUCAAUUGAUGAGAAAUUUUUGUUUCAACGAUAAAGGGUAUAACUCUUACUAUUAUCUCCUUCUUCUGUUAUAUUAUUUAAUCUGCACUUAAAUAAGUGUAAUUUAAUUUAUUCAUAUUUUUUAAUUAAUUAGCAUCCUUUUGUUGGUAGGCUAGUUUCAUUUUUUUUUUGUUGCUUUGUGUGCAUGCCUAUUUUAUUUCUUGUAGUUCAUGAUUUGUUGUUUGAUCUAAUAUUUAGAUUUAGUUAUUAAUUAGCUUUUAUUUAAAUAAAUUUAGUUUUAUUUAUUUUUUAGAAAAUAGAUUAAACUUCAUUUAUAAAUUAAAAUCCAAUCGUUUCCAUGAGAUUUAGGAAAUUUUUUUUUUUUGUAAACCGAUUUGGUUGGUUCAAAAGCAAAUUAGUUGACUAGUAAAAGAGUCUAAAGAUAAAAUUAAUAGAAAAGACAAUAAAAUUGAUACAAAAAAAAAUCAUCCCAACCUAACUUUUUGUCCAACCUAGGUUUAAAAUUAAAAUUAUACAGAAAUUAUUUAAAUGUGAUCUAGUCGACUUAACUGAUUAAAAGACAACCCAAUUAACUUGUAAAAAAAGUUUAAAAUUGAAAUUGAGGGAAAAAAUAAUGAAAUUAAUAAGAAGAAAAAUAUCAACUUCACUAUUUAAAAUAUAUAAAAGUUAUUUUGACGUGAUUUAUUUUAUUAGUUUAAAGAUAACCCAGAUGAAUAUUAAAAAAUUCAAUAAUAAAAUUAAAAAAAAAAAUGGCUGAAUUGAAAGGAAAUUUUUUUUUUUGUAAACAGUACAAGGAACCUGGAAAGCUUUUCCAAGAAUUUUAGUUGUGAUACACGAGAGUGAAUAAAAUAUGUAUUUUAACAGAUAGAGUGAAUCGUCAAUGAUGAUGACAGAACUAAACCACAACCUUUCGUGUCUAAUCCAGGCUUUGUCUCCUACGAUACUGAUGGAAUUGCACCCAGCAAUGUCUAAUCUAGGCUUAAUCUCACAACCCAUCGCCUACACUAACCUAUAAUGGUACGAACCUACUUAAUUAUAAUCGUAGCAUGUGUGAGCGCUAUGCAUGCUGUCAAAAAUUGUAGCCAUCAACUAGUCAGCUAAUGUAUUAAUCAAGUGUGCUAUUAUGUAGUGUCACGCCAGGGAUCUGAGGUCCGGUAUGAUUAAAUAGCUAAAUUUUGAAAAAUAAAUUGUUUAAAAUUAAUUAUCUUUUAAAUAUUUUCAUAUCGUUUUAACAUAUUAAUAUUAAAAAUUAUUUUUAAAAUAUAUAUAUUUUAAAAAAAAACUAUUAACAUAUUAUUAUAGUCACCGUAGCCGCUUCAGAAACUAAGAUUGUUGACUAAAUCGAGGAAACGCGGAGACAUAGGGACCUGAAAUCCCGGGAACCUGUUUAUUGUUUGUUUCAUAAUACUCCAUCGUUAAAUACACUCGAUGCCAACCUUUAGAAUUAGAUUCUCAUGACCGGGUUUGCAUACAAUAUUUAUAAGCUGAGACCAUAUUCAUUGAAAUUGGCCGCUUACACCAAUGGAAGCGAGCCACGUCAAUAAUAGGCUAACACAUGGGGGUGGAAAGUAAAAACACACGCUAAUGGGCUGAGUCUGGCAAUCGUAGCUCCAUAAUUCAUACUGAAAAGGAUAAAAACUUGGAUUCAUUGUCGUUCUUGUGAUGUGAAAUACGCAGCUUCUCCUUCGUCCUUGCUUGACAAUAAUGUAUAGCUUUACCCAUGAACAGGUAUUAUCCCUUUUCUUUUCUUGUUUUCGCUUUCUGAACAGAAGAUUGGAUAUUGUCCGGAGAACAUUUUGUUUUAUUGAGUUGAAAUUAAGAAUCUUAGUUUGAGUAAGCCUAAUGCAGAUAUAUAUAUAUCAUGUCAUUAAAGCACUAGCGAAUUUGACGUUGAAGUCUUAACUCUAAUAAUUGCAAGUUAACACUAACUUUAUUCUUUUCCUUCUUCAAUUUAGCGAUUGUAUGACCCACUCGAUAUAUUUGAACAGUAAUGGAACUUGAAGACAUUGCUCAAGUAGUGUACUAGGUAGUAUUAGACUGGAGCCCAUGCUACUGAUAAGGUUUCAAAAUAUCCUAGCAGUUUACCAUCAAGACUUAUGUGUUGCGCAUCAUCACUUAAGCUCUUAAUUUUAAUAAUUUUAUUUAUUUUUAUUGCUCAAGAUGACUGGUAGCCCGGUAUCUGAUGGCUGGUGCUUAUAAAAAGUUUUUUUUUAUAGAUUUAAAAACUCUAUGAUGGUUAAGUUUAUCUUUUAGAGAGAUAGACUCUAAAAAUAUAAAUACUCAAAAAAAAAAAAUUCAGAUUAAAGUGAUUGCAAACUCGCUCCUUUUAAGGACCCAAUGGAUCUUUAUAACUCAUUAUUCUUACCAUUUGGUGGAGGGGAGCAAUAAAAAGUCAUCCUUUUGUGAUAGUAUUAAAACAUCUCUUUAUGUAACAAAGAAGAGAAAUAUCUUUGACUCAUCAUAGUCUUAUGAUCCAAUAUGGAGCAUGAUAAGAUUGCUAAAGUCUCUUGUAUUCGGGCUCAGCGUUUGGCUGAGCCUGGGGGUGAUAGGUCUGACAGUUCACCAAACUCAUAUAUGUUUAGGAUUAACGCCUGACUGAACCUGAAAAUACUGGAUCUGAAAACUCUCUAGACUCCUAUUUGCUUGGGCUCAAUGUCUAGUUGAAUCCAAUGAUGUUGUGUCUAGUAGCUCACCAGACCUAUAUAUUAUUGGGCUCAACGCCUAGCUGCGCUUGGCUAGCUUUUAAAUUAAAGUGUAUGUCUAAAUAUAGAAUUUGUGGGUAAUUAAAAAUAUAUGAUAUAAGUGUAUAAAUAACCUUUAUAUAAAGAAAAAUAGGAUAGGUGGAAGAAUAACAACAUAAUAGGUUUGUGCCUUAAAAACUACAUUUACUUUUUUUUAAAAAAAAUUAUUCGGUUGUUUUCCUUUGAAAAUAAAUUGUUUAGCAAGUGAAAGUGAAAGGUUAUUGUUCAAACUGUUCAUUCAAGGGCAAGGGCUGAAAAAACUAAUGGACUAAAAUAAAUUUAAAAACCACAAAAUUAUUUUAUAAUAAAUUCAAAUUUAAGUCAAAAAAAAGGUUUGCGAAAAGCAAACUCCAACCCAAUUCUCAGAACCUCAUGCACCGAGGCCUUAUACCCUACUUUCCUAUUUUGAAUAUUUACUUUUCUUUAUAUUAAUAUGUCAGAUUGUCACAACAAAAACCUAUUUCAAAGUAAAAAAAUAAACAAGGAAGUUAUGGGCAACUAUGGUAUCGAACCACAUCUUUGAUUAAGAAAACAAGUAAAAAUCUUUUGGGACCACUAAUUCUAGAGUAUUAAUUUAAAAUCAGAUGAGAGAAAAGUUAUAUUAAUCUAGAAGAGGAAUAAGCUAAAGGCUUUAACAAAUAAUUAAAAACCACUCGAGUGUAGUUUUGAAAUCCGGCCCGGCCCGGCCCGGCGGGCCGACCCGAGACUGGAACCGGGCGAGGUUGAAGAAAAAAUAGGAUAAAAAAAAACCCGGUAUGACCCGGUAACCCGGUCAAAAACCCGGUUGCAACUUUUUUAUUAAAACGACGUCGUUUUGAUUUAAAAAAAAAAGAAUUGACCCAGCCGACCCGGUCAAAAUCCAGAACCUAGGCUCCUUAGACCGGGCCUAGUCUAAAAACUAUACACUCGAGGGUUAAAAAUCCACCACCAAGGUUAUGUUUUGGUUUAGAAGAUAUUCUUAUUUUUAAAAGCUAGCUUAAAUAAAAAGUUAUAUUUCAUGUAAAUAAAAUAAAAAAUCAAUUCCUUCUCUCAAAAUGAAUUCAAUACUAAUUUACAUACCUUAAAAUAAAUACUUUUAGAUCUAAAACUUUAUAUUAAAAUUUUAUUUUAGUUAUAACAACAACCUCAAAUACUUUUAGAUCGACUAUAAACUUGUGUCGGAUUUUGAUUUGAUUACAAGUAUAGAGGUGGUCGUCAAUGCCAUAUCAUUAAAAAAAAAAAAAAAAAAAAAAACCUCCACUUAAAUUUAAAGCUAUAUUUACUUUCCUGCUGUCGAAGACAAUAAGAACUCCUCAUGCUAGUAGACACGUAACAAUCUCUUGGACCACUCACAUGUUGGACGAUAACCAAAAAAAUAAAAAUAAAAAGCUAAAAUGGAAAGCAGAUUCAAUUAUUAUGCACAUGUACUUAAUUUACUAUCCAUUGAUUCAAUACAAUUAUUGUUUUACCCUUGCAAAAAAUCGAAUGGCUUUAAUGUAAUGUUAGGGGUAAUUUGGUUUUUUCCAAUGACUCAUUAGUCAUUAUUCAAUUAACCAUGCACAACUUGGUUUUUUUGCUUUUUUUAAUAUAGUAAAAUUGCUAAAGUGCCUUUAAAAAAUAUAAAGCAAACGAUGCUUUUCAUACACUAUAGCUCGAGGAUGAAGGAGAAAUUCCUACAAAGAAUUUGUUGGUUGGAAUGAUAGCUGUGUUUGUGGUUUAAAGUUUUUUUAAUUUAAAAAUAUAUUAAUAAAAAAAUUUAAAAUUUAAAAUAAUAUUAUUCACACCGUGUUUCAAUCACAUUUAAAGAAUAAUAAUUGAUUUGAUUUAAGUGGGAUUUUUUCAACUAGGUUACAAUCUUGUUUAUUUAAAUUCCUGUAAAGGUGGAGGAAUUUCUCCAUGGCAGGUACCUAACCGGAUUUUUUUAUUUUAAAAAAAUAAAAAAUAAGCUUAAAAUAAAACUAUAUCUUUAUCCAUAAAUCAUAAAACUAUAAAAUAAAAUUUAAACUUUAAAUCAAUGCAUAAAAUUAUAAAAAUACUUUACAAAUCAUAAGAUAAAAUCCACAUACUAUAUCACAAAAUAAAAAUUAGGACUCCUUAAAAUAAGAUAAAAACUUUAAAAAAUCAAGUGAGGGCGGGGUCAAGUGAACCCCUCACCCACCACCGCAUCUCUUUCAGUCAAGCCGAAACAAAUUUUAGACACCCUUUUGUUAUAUCCAGGCCUGAUUUAGUUUAUUUUAUUUAGCUCGAUUAUCUAUUCUAGUAAUUGGGCUAAAUGAUGAUAGGCACGGGAUGCUAUGAGCUUAGAAAUGGGCUGGAGAUGUCAAGCAUGGACUGUUGUCGGCUUAGACACCCAAAUUCUAAAGAGAAUGGACGGAUUUCUUUGCUCCUCAGCCCAUCAAUAUACUUCGCUCGUUCCAUCGUUUCAUUUCUUGCUUAGAUUGAGAUUUUUUAAUAUUUCUCUUGAAUAUUUUUUUAAAAAUAAUUUAAAAAAUUUUAAUGAACAAAUUAAUCCGAAGAUAAUCGAUCAUAAAAAAAUUAAAAAAAUAAGAAAAAAAUAAUUUAUUUUUCAAAAACCAAAAACUUUUGAUACUUUUCCAGACAUUAAACAUCUAAUUUUCUUAAAUAAAAAAUAUUUUUGAAAAAUGCUCAGCCAUUAAAAUAUUUGAUAAUGUUUUAUAUUUUUUUCUCAAAAGUAUCAUAUGAUGACUCAAUAUUACUCUUAAACAUUUAAAAUAUUACAAUUUUCUAUUUGUUUUCACAAUUUUAAGGUUUCAAAUUUGAAAUUUUUUAUUCUUUAAAUUCUUAAAAGUUUUAAGUUUUUUUUUAAAUAUUUUUUAUUUCCCAAAAAUUUUAAAGACCUAGAAUCGUUGGAAAUCUUAAUUUUUUAAAAACUAUGUUUCAAAAUACUAAUAUUUUUGUUCUAGAAAUAUUUUCAAAAAAAACCAAUUUUUUUCUAAAAACAAAUAUUUCUAAAGAUUUUUCCAAUUGUUAACCGGUGUUAAGUUUGCAAUCAGAGGCAAUUAAAUCCGAUUAGGUUGAAUCGACUAAAGUUUACAAACAAAGGUUAACUCUUGAACAAAUCUUUUUUACAUAAGUUAAUUUGCCUAGUUAGUACAAAUACAGGUGAAAGUGUGGCACUUUUUCAAUAACUUUCAACAUAAAAUAAAAUAUUUUACAUAAAUUUUCAGCCAUUGAUUUAAGAUAAAUCCAACAGUCGAAGUUUAAUGAAAUAUCCUUUAUUAAUAAUUGGAUUAUACUUCCUUGAAAAAGGUUAAACUUCUUUCCACUCCUUUUCAUAUGAAAAUUUCCAUGACCAAUCAGUAUUUAAGUUUUUUUUUUUUUUUAAAAAAAAGGCAUUGUUGCUGAUCGGCUAAAAGGCCCAGGGUAAAAAUAAAAUAAAAAUGAGCAAUGCUGUCCAGUUAAUUGUCUUGGGCCAGAGGCGUAACAACAAAGACAGUAGCUUGACAAACUACUGGUCUGGUCCAAAGGCCCAACUGCUCAAGAGAGGAAGCAGAAGAGAGAGGACCGGACAGGAGGUGAGAAUUAACAUGUCUUGUUAGUAAAAUAUAGCGCAACCACCCACUGGUGUUACACUACACGUAGAUAAAUACAUGUCUUGCAUAAUAAUUUCUCCAUCUCCUUUAGUUUUUUUUUAAUUAGCAUAUAGACUCGUGCACGAUGUUGUAAGUCUGCUUUAAAAAAAUAUUUUUGUUAACCUUUCAAUCUGCAUACCAAAUCAUGAGAUCAUAAUAACCCUAUAAUAAAAAUCAAAACAAAUUAUAAAGUUUAGUUUUCAAUAAACUCAAUAUUAAAAGAUAAAAUUAAAAAAAAUCAAUUAAAAAAAUAAUCUCAAUCAACUUAGAUUAACUUAUCAAACUUAUAAUCUAGAUUAUAAAACUAUGCUAUGAUAACACAAUAAAAAAAUUGAAAAAAAUUAUUAACUUUAAUUCAAAUUGUGCCCAGCUGCCUUCUUCAGGACGCCUAGGCUAAAAGAGCUGGGCCCAUUCGUUCUAGGCUAGGGAAGCUCGGUCAAGUUGUUUUUAAAAUUAUUAAGAAAAUAAAAAUAAAAUAAGAAGCCUCCGGUUUUUUCUCUUCGAAAACCUUUUUAUAUAUAUAAAAUAGGAUGAAAAAAAGAAGCCAAAAGCAUUGUAGAUGAACAAUUUCCCAUCCAACAUCGAGCUGCAGUGUAGAAGAAAACACCAUAAUCAUUCAAUUUUUCUUCGAUAAUUAAUAUUACAAUUUGUAUUUGAUAAUUAACAUAACAACGAGCGCAUCCGUUUGGGCUGCAAUCAUCCCGUUGGCCUGGGUUUUGACCAUUUGUCCACGCGAUUCCGAGCCUUUUCAGCCUGCAAAUAAAUUUCUCAAAACUUGCGAGUAAAAGAUCAUAUGGAUUCAUGUUGAAGCUGUACAGCAUCAGUCAUCAAUAUAAAAUUCUACCUCUUUAUCCCAGUUAAAUUUCAUCGUUAUGAUGGCCAAGGUAACAGUUUGAGUAAAAGUUCCGCCAAGAAUCAUCCCGCACCAGAUGCCCUGGUACAUCAAAAAAAAAUAAAAAUUAGAAAACUCUUUUUUUAUUGGCCGUUAUCUUGUAAAAAUGUCGAUUGUUUUUUCUCCAAACCCCAAUUGUCAAUCGGAAAAGUAGUUUACUCUAUGUUCUGCUAGCUAUUAUCUCCUGCAGAAUAGACGAAAGGAAAAGUCAUGGAAGUAAAAGAGAUCCCAACUAUGGAAACUUACCUUAAUACCCAACUUGAAGACCCAUCCCAUAAGAAAUCCAAGAGGGAGCCCAAUAAUGUAGUAGCAGCCAAGAUUUACAUACGCGAUCUUUGUUUGCGACCCUGAUCCUACGGCCACUCCUGUCACGGCGAAGACGGUUUCUUUUAAUGGAUAGAGAGGAAAUCGGAAGGGACAACCAGCUCCUCUAUAGCGAUAGCACAGAAUUAACAGUUUUUUUAUUAUUAUUAUUGAAUAUUGUUAAGUUAUAAUUAAUUAACUGGAAGCUCGAAAUCACCUGACAGAACCGGUUGAACAUUAUUAAGGAGAAUACUAAUGGCUAAGAGGGGCGAGAGGCUAUCAACCUCAUGGAUAACAUCAGCGUCAGAAGUGAAUGCCAAAGCAAUCUUGUUCUUCAAUAGCAUGAUAAGCACGCACAACACAAGUCCAGUUAUAGUUGUUUGUGCCACUGAAACCAUUGUUGCAAAUUUUGCUGCUUUACUAUUCCCAGCUCCUAAUUCAUUGGACACUCUCACGCUGCAAAAUUGAUGAUAGAUUUCUUUGAGUGUAAGAUCAAGAAUAGCUAGCUACUAGAUUAUAUAACCAACCAAAGCAGCUCUAAAUGCCUGAUUUGGGAGUUGAAAUGUAUUCAAAGUGUUUACAGGAAUGGACUUCUGAUUCUAUCUCGUAAGAUUUAUGGACAACUUCUCGAUAAGGUAGUGACAUUAUUUGAACUCGAAUUAAAACACUAACAUGGCCAUGCCGCCACACAUACUGACUACACAAUGUGUUCUAGGAUAUUACAGGUAAGAAAAAGAGGUUCAAAAUAGUACCCCGCAGCUGCAUAGAAGGCCAGGGGAAUCAUGAGUUCCCACCCAAUAGUACCCAUGCUGCAAAUUUUCAAUCCUUGGUUAAAGCAAGGCUUACAGAAUCGCGAGCUAAUAACAACUGCAAAGACAGCAAAGGAAAAACCGUCUCUUACCAAACUGAGAGAGCAUCCACAGCAAGUGUCGAGUUUUUCAAGUGCCCAGUCAUUAUUAUAAGUAUUCUAUAGUACCAAUUCUCCAAGCUGCAGCAAAUAAGAGCUAGAUGUAAAUUCAUGGUUUAACUGUAUUAAAUUCGCUGCUUAGUUAACGUUCUUGGUAGAGCGUGGAAAAACAAAAUAACAAUAUUAUUUGCCUUCGUAUAUGAUAUUUUGCUCAAAUAUGGAUUAUAAAUGGGUAAAAAAAGAAAUUUGUUGCUUCAGUUCACGAACUAUAUCCACCUGAUGAAUUAGUGAUCUUCACUUUUUUAGCUGGAUACAAACACGCACCAACCAUUUUGACUACCCCUCAAAACAUAAGGCUCCAUGUAAUUGACCUUGCUCAACAAGAAUCGAUAUGUAGAUCACUGUGUUUUUUUUUUCUUAAAAAAAAAGAUUAUCAAAUUAUAACCGUAUCAAGAUUUGGAAGAUAUUUUUUGAAAGAAAAAAAAAAUCAUUCUGAUUAAGGUAUUCGGCAAGAAUUAAGGGAAUUUGGAGGAGACAGGACUACAUACCAGAGCAUGACCCCAGAAGCAACAGAGAGCUUGACAAAUUCCCAUAGCCCAGAAAAGGCUUGGACGGAAAACCCAGUCCAAGUAGAAGGGCACCGACCACAAGAACAAUAAACGAACAACCCAAGUGUUAAAGCCCACCAGGAUAUAUCCAAAGCAAUAGCCACGCCAACAACUCCGAAAUCGAGCUCGUAAAUGAAGAGCCAACUUGUCAAGGCAUUGAUCCCCAAGCUCACCAAGGAAACCCAGGCAGUCACUUGAUUCUUUAGCUGGCUCUGCAAGAACGUCCGCAAUGGGAACAGAAAUGCAAAGCUAAAGUGCAAAGGUAUCAACCAUAAAGCCACCGCUCCCGCCAUCUUUGCCACUUCAUCAGCCUGACCUAGACGUUUGAGAAGUGGAGUGGCAAAAACGUAAAAUGGCAAAAGCAUGAAACAACACAAGAACAGAACAACCCAAGAUCUUUGCAUGUAGAUGCCCAACAUAUGGUAUCUUUCAGCCCCAAAAGCUUGCCCACAAAGUGUCUCUAAAGCACUUGCCAUUCCUAACUAAAAUGCGAAAACAUCCCCUAUUAGAGCAUAUAAUGGAAAAAAGAAAAAUAGAAAAGAAGUUGGUUAGUUUUGGAGAUAGAAAAUGAAAAUCAAAUAAUAUCGCACCAGGAGUCCAUAAUUGAAGCCAACAAUAACGGUAUUCGAUAUGGAGAUAGCAGCGAGCUCAACACCACCAAGAUGACCAGCAAAAGAUUGAGUGAUCAUGUUCAUGGAGAACAUGGCCAUAAGACUGAAGAUGGCAGGCCCUGCAGUUUGCCAUAGCUUCUUUGUUUCAACCCAGAUUCUUGAUGCAAGAUCGUUCUUGUUUUCUUGAUCAUGUUGAUCUUGGAGAUACAAGGCUUGAUUACGUUCACUAUCUGUGUCAACACUCCCCAUCGAAAGGGAAAAAAUGCAAUGUAAUCUAGGUUCUUAUUUGCUUUUGAGCUAGGGAGAGAGUUUGUUGGAUGUAUAAAUAAGAAAAGGUUUCAUGGUUAGUAAAUUUGCUGAUAUAUGUUUGAUAUGGUUGGCAAUCAAGUGAAAGGGCAUCUGGGCAUGGAUUGUAUAGGCUUGAGGACACAUGGAGGUAAAGGUGGCAAAUGAAUAUGGGAAUGGGUAUUGGAAAUAUUUUGCCCAUUUACGUUUAUGAUCCGUUUAUUUUUAAUAUAUAGAAACUCAAACCUUAAUUCCGAACAUUAACUCAUUUAAAUUAUUUUUACAUAUUAUCAUUAUAUCUAUCUUUUUAUUUAUUUGACUAACGUACAGAUUAUAAGUUUAAUUAAAGUGAACUUUUUGACAUACAAUGAUCUAAUUGUAAAGAAGUUUUCAAUUUAGCAACUACUAUUUAUGAUAAAUAUAUAAGGACAAAAAAUCUCCAAUUAAACCACUUCUAUGAACACAUAUGACAUAUAGCUAAGACUAGUUAUUGGGCCCAUAUUUUGUUACAGGCGGAUAAUUUUUUUAUUAAAAAAAUAAAUAUGAAUAUUUUAUAAUGUAUUUUUUAUAUAAAAUAACUCAAUUUAUAAAUCAAAAUAUCUAUAUACAUAUCUAAUUAAUUAAGUCAGAUUAAAAAAUAAAAAUUAAAAUAUUUGGUCUUUCAAUACGAGUUAUUUAUUCAAUUGUAUUUAACAACUUUAUUUUUUAGAAUAUUUUUUUAUUUAAUCAAAUAAUUAUCCAUGUUAAUAAAAAUUAAAAAAUACUAAAAAUAUAUUAAAUAAAACUAUCAACCUCAAUAUAAAACAACGUAACCUUGUUUAAUGAAUAUGGAUUUCACCCCAGAUGGAUUAACUUAAUCGACAGGCAUCCAAGGGAAGCGGGAUUGGCUAGUUUUGGUAAGGUAAUAUCUAAUUAUCUGGAUUCUAGCUAGCAACGCUAGAAGGAAGGUACAUGGAUCUGUAAUGGCUUAUGUUGUUGAAGCUGGAGGCACUUGUAUAUCCCGCUCGAACGAAAAACCACUGGAAGCCCGUCUGACAAGCAAAUUUUGCGACGGAGACGGUGGUUUUUGGAUGUAAAACACCAUUUUGAGCAGCAACAGAAACAGGUCGGAAGGACACUGCAGGUUUAGCUACAGGGGUCUCCCUUGUAUAUCAGCAUAUUGGUUUUUUUUUUUUAUGAUUGUAAAUAAUCAUAUCACAUGUUUAUAAACUAAACAUUUUUUUUUUCACUUCUCUGAUUUUUAUUUUUAAGUAACUUUUUGGACAACAUAUACGCAGUUCGCAUAAAAGUGUGUUAGAACAUUGAAAAACCAAGAGAGAGGAUUUUGAUUUGCGACAAAAAGUAAUUUCGUGUUUGUCAAAUUGUCAAUAGCAUAUAUGUGGUAGCGAUGGUUUGAUAAAUUAAUUUUUAUUUUAAAAUAUAUUAAAAUAAUAUAUUUUUUAUUUUUUUAAAAUUAUUUUUUACAUCAGCAUAUUAAAACAAUAUAAAAAUAUCAGAAAUAUAUUAAUUUAAAAUAAUAAAAUAAUAAAAUUUUAAAUUUUUUUAAAAUACUUUCAAAAACACAAAAUCAAACAUGGCAUUUCAAGAUAGAGCGGGUUGAGGACCGUACGAAUCAAAAUGGUCAUGAAGAUGGUCUCAGGCUGGGCAAGAGCUAAUUACCAUAAAAUCUAAUCUGGGCCACAUCAGCCGGCCCAUUUCAUCUGAACUUGAAAACAUACCUUAAGAGUUAAGACCCGUCCAUAAGAUAUCCAAGCGCAGCCCUGAUUUACAUUUGCGAACUUUUCUUGCAAUCCGGAUCCUACUCCGCUCCUGUCACGUUGAAGGUGGUUUCUUUUUCCAUGGAUAUAAUAGGGACAAGACUCCUCUUUUUGUUUUUUCUCGAGAAAUAAUUGUAGGAACAAAUUAUAACUAAUUAAUUAACAUGCACCUCUUUUAUUUAAUUCUGUAUAAAAUAAUUAACAAUGUUUUUUUUUUCUCAAACUUAAAUUUCAGAAUUUCAUAUUAAUAACUUUUUGAAAUCCAUCGACACCACAUAUUAUUUAUUUAUUUUCUUUAGAGGGGGAGAGAAAUUACUUUAGACCCGUUUGUUUUUAUAUUUUAAAAGUGUUUUUUUAAAAAACUAAAUUUUAUUUUAUUUUUUCUUUACUUCAAAUUAAUGUUUUUGGUCUUUUCAGAUCGUUUUAAUAUGUUAAUUUCAAAAAAAAAUUAAAAAAUAUUAUUUUGAUGUAUUUUCAAGUAAAAAAUACUUUGAAAAAUAACCCUUAUCAUAUUUAGAAUUUUCAAGAAAAAGUUAAUUAAUUGAUUAAUAAAUACAUGAUAAAUAUCUGGAAAUUGCCAUCAAAAGAGGGCAUCAAAAGAGUGGAAUGCAAACAUGUGUACAGCGAGUUGGUCGAAAUUUAUUGGAACAUUAAUUAUUGAUGGAUGUGUUUUGAAUGAUCUCCCUAGGUCUGUUUGUUUCCAUGCUUCUUUGUUUAAAGCCAACCAUAUUUGGUAACGGCUGAAAAUUUAAUUCUGCCAUGUAGGUCCUAGCAAGGCACUGCGUUAAAAACACAGAUUACUAGAAGCAGCACAGUGCUACUUUCAGUGUAGAGCUUUGUUCACUUAAAAAUAACGGUGGAGACAUGCACCACUUCAUGUAAACAGUUAUGCAUGUCUCCCGUUGGAUCGGGUCUGGUUCAAAACUAAAUACAUUGAACAGAGUUCGACUCAGUAAAAAAAAUUAAAAUUUAUUUUUUAUUUUUAUUUGUAUUUUAUUGAUGACGUAGCAUUUGCAGAUUUGAUCGCAAUCCCAAUUUUGUUCCUGAUUAUAUUUAACCUGAAGUUGUUACGCGCUUAAGAAACCAAGAAAACUGUAGCAUUGUCGGGUGUAUUUUAUACGUGAUGAAAUUGUAGAUAGUUUAAUUGAAUAAUAAAAAAUAUUUUAUAUAAAUUAUUAUUUAUUUCAUGAUGUAAUAAUAAUAGUUAAAUCUAUAAUAUUUAAAUUAAAAAUCAUCAAAAUAUAUAUAUAUAUAUAUAUAUAUAUAUAUAUAUAUAUAUAUAUAUAUAUAACCUCAAUUUUUUUUAAUCAUUAAAUUAUUUUUUUGUUUAAUCUCAAAUUGAAACACAAUUUUAAUCAAACUAUAUUCUAUUGGAGAUCUUGCUGUCAUAUUAAUUAUGUUGAUUCACAAGAUUGAUAUGUUUUGGUAAAGAAUUCAAGAUCUGCUUUGCUCUUUAUUUAAUUUUUAAAAUAUAUAUUAUUUUAAUAUAUUUUUAAAUAAAAAAUAUUUAAAAAAAAAACAUGUUCCUUCCAAACAUAAAGAUUUUUUUCCAGAUUCAGAAAAGAUAUGAGCAAGAAAAGUUCUAUAUCUCGAGUAUCUUGCGUUUAUUUUUAAUUUUUUUUAUAAUAUGGAAUCUUAAUUUAUUUUUAAUUUUCAAUCAAUUUUAAUGGCCAAUUUAGAAACAAUUUGGGAACGCGGUACAAACCGCGUUCCCAAAAAAAUUUUAAUUUUUUUUUUGCUAAAAUUUAAUAUGUUUUGGAUCGUUUUGAUGUGCUAAUAUCAAAAAUAAUUUUUAAAAAAUAAAAAAAAUCAUUGGCAUGCAUUUCGGUACAAAAAGUUAUUUAAAAAGCAACCACAACCACAACCACGCUGUCAAACAUACUUUUACUCUGGCUCCAACAAUGCAAACUGCAUUUUGCUUUCACUAUUGAAUUUCUCAAGUCAUUCACAUUUGAUUGGAAUUCUUUUUCAUUCUGGUCCAUUGAGAAGCUUUAAACAGUGUUCUAUGAAGUCUAUGUAACAUUUUUAAAGCAGACCACCAGUCAUAAAAAGAAAAGGCAAUAUAAAAUCCAUGAGUAUUUGUGAAGAUGUAAAGGCAAGAGAUCGGAUUUUUUUCAGGGAUUUCAUAUUUUUCUGAGAUUAGCAUAUAACACGUAUUUUGAGGCAAUGAUUUUAGUUUGAGAAAUUCCAAAAAGCUGGCUGACGACAAUGGGGAUGAACUGGCUUGAUAUGACCGUGUUUUUCAAAUAGGGAUUUGAUGCUUUGACUUCAUUAGGACUGGAAGCACCAAGCAUUCUGCUAGACAAAUGCAGAUAUUCCCAAUAUUCAUGUUACAGCAGCAUCAAGAGAAACAUGGAGGAAUGAAUAUAUAUUUCUUUGGUAAAAUUAAUAUUAAUUUGCUUAGCGUGUAAGAAAUGCAAAAAUGGAAAAACAAAAUCAUGUGCUUACAAAGAAACUCGGUUGCUGCCAAUAGGGUAACACUUUACCGCUCUAAAGACAAUGAAAUGUAGCUUAAAUAAUAAAAGUUUUCUACUCCAAGAAUUUUUUGUGUAAACCUCUUCUUUGUAAUAAACCCCUCGAGGACUGUUAUCAAAUUGAGUCUCUUUAUCAUUGAACAUCUGGCUUCGAUUGCGACCACUUGUUUACAUUAAUGCGUGCCUUUUCCGCCUUCAAAUUCAAUGCAUUGACAAGUAAAGGAUCAUAUAAGAGAAACAUUUAUGCAUUGUAUAGAGUUGAAGUUUUAAAAGAGAAGUCAGUUUAUGCUUCCUACCUCCUUAUCCCAGUCGGAUCUCAUGGUUAUGAUGACCAAUAUCACCGUUUGAACGGCGGUUCCACCAAAAAUCAUCCCACCCCAGAUGCCCUGGUAUACCCACAACAGCGAUCCGAGAAACAAACUUCUAUUAGCAACAAAGAAUUAACAAUCUCUUGAUUGCACAGAAGAGAAAAAAGAGAUUUGAUGAAAUGACCGCUUGAGAUAUUCAAAUCCAUAUUGUUGUGAGCGCUCCUUGCAAAGUACUCAAGGCUUGAGAUAUUCAAUCCAUAUUACUUGAAAAAAAGCUUUUUUGAUCGGUGGAAUAAAUUUAAUUGAAGGCAGUUAACUCACCUUAACACCCAACUUGAAGACCCAUCCUAUUAGAAAUCCAAGUGGGAGCCCAAUAAUGUAGUAGCAGCCAAGGUUUACAUAUGCAACCAAUGCUUGCCAUCCUGCUCCUACCGCAACUCCUGCCAUGGUGAAGGAAUUGGUAAUAUAAUUUGAAUUAGAAGGAAAGAGCACAGGAAUUGAGGUAAUGUGUCAGCAAUUCUUUUUAUUUUAUUUUUGUGUGUGUGUGUGGGGGGGGGGGGGGGUCAAAAUUGACAAGGGGUUUGAAACUUACCUGAUAAAACUGGUUGAACGCUGUUAAGAAGAAUAGUAAUGGCUAGAAGCAGGGCCAGGUUAUCAACCUCCUGGAUAACGCUGGAGCUAGAGGUGAAUAUUAAUGCAAUCUUGUUGUGUAGCGACAUGAUAAUUACGCAAAAUAUAAGUCCAACUAUAGAUGAUUGCACCACGGAUACUAUAGUUGCAAAUUUUGCUCCCUUGCCAUUUCCAGCUCCUAACUCAUUAGACACCCGUACUCUGCAAAUUUGACGAGCUUUUCAUGGUUGUAAAUUCAACAAGAAGACAGAGAUAUACGAAUCAUUUCUUGAAGUGAUAGCUUAAAUAGCACUGUGUGUAACUGACCCCAAUCCCAAAUACAAGGAGUACAUCUUCUUCUCUUUAUCACCUCAAAAUCUAUAAUUAUUGAAUUAUGUUCAAAAGAUCAGGAAAUUACCCUGUAGCUGCGAAGAAGGCCAAAGGAAUCAUGAUCUCCCACCCAUUAAUACUCAUGCUGCAAAUUUCAAUCAGAAAUAAUAAUUAAAGUGGAGAUCAUAAUAAGUAUUUUACAGAGGCGCGCAUAUUCUUCUUUCACAAAAAGAAUCUGGCAUGUAAAACAGGGUUUAUGAUAACGAGAAAUUAAAGAAGAGAUAGAACACUUUAAAAAGAACUCAAUCGUUAAAAUCUCUUACCAGACUGACAAGGCAUCCACAGCAAGCGUUGCGUUCUUAAAGUACCCUGUCAUUAAUAUCAGUAUUCUGUAGUACCAAUUCUCCAGGCUGCGUACCAAAGCCAGAUACAAAGAGCAAGUUAUUAUUUUCUUCUUUUUUCUAUUUAAUUAUGAGCAAUGCUGCGCAAACAAAUAAAUCAUACAAUACAAGAUUCUCUGUUCAUAUAUGGCUAAUCAUUUUUAAAAAAAAAAAAAAACUACAACAACAAUAAUUUGAUGACAGGAUAUGGCAAAAGAAAUGAAGCGUAAUGGAAAAAGAAAAAAGAAAAAAGAAAAAGCUAAUGAAUAGACAUAUAAGCAUCUGACUAGUUCAUUCUCCCAAGAAGAAGCCCGACAAGACUUAAGCCCAAGAUCAUCGGCAACUACCAGAGGAUCCAACGCAAGAACCGACCUAUUAGAAAAAGAUUAAGAGAAUUUGAUAAAUAUAUUCUUAGUUCAUCAAUGAACUAAACCCCAUCCCUUUUUUUUCCACCGCCCCUAAAUAUUAAAAUAUGCUUUUUUAUUUUUAUUUUUAUUUUUAUUUCACAAGAGAGAUGUUUGGACUCCAUGCUUCUUGAAGGGAGCACACACCGAUACCAGUCAGCUGCAAUUUAUUAACAUGUAUUUAAGCCUUACCUUAUCUCUCUUAGACAAACAGUCCUUCGAAAGUUAAUUGAUUAUUUUCUUUCAUUUUAAUUAGAUUUUUCUUUAUAACCACAUCCACUUUAAUUAGACAGGAGCAAGGGAAGUUUGAGGAUGAGAAGAAGAUACCAAAGCAUGACUCCAGAAGCAGCAGAUAGUUUGACAAAUUCCCAGAGGCCACAAAAGGCUUGUGCCGAAAACCCAGUCCAAGUAGAAGGACACCAACCACAAGAAGUAUAUAUGAACAAUCCAAUAACUAUAACCCACCAAGAUAUAUCCAAAGCAAUUGCAGCACCAAUAACUCCAAAAUCAAGCACAUAAACAAGGAGCCAACUCGUCAACACAUUGACCCCUAGACUCGCCAAAGAAAUCCAGGCUAUCACUUGAUUCUUUAGCUGGCUCUGCAAGAACCUCUGCAAUGGGAACUGAAAUGCAAAGCUAAAGUGUAGCGGUAUCAACCAUAAAGCCACCAAUCCUGACUGCUCUGCGACGUCGUCGGGCUGGCCUAAGAAUUUGAGAAGUGGAGCGGCAAAAACGUAAAAAGGCAAGAGCAAGAAACAACAGAAGAAUAGAACAAUCCAUGAUCUUUGCAUGUAAAUUCCCAACAUAUGGUAUCUCUUUGCACCAAAAGCUUGCCCACAUAAAGUCUCUAAAGCGCUUGCCAUUCCUAGCUGUUUUUUUUCAAAACCACUUUAAGAAGUUUAGACAAUAGAAAGGAAAAGGUGCAAGAUUGAAAGCGAAAUUUCCAAUAGCAUACCAGCAGUCCGAAAUUGAAGCCAACAAUAACAGUAUUGGCUAUGGAGAUUGCAGCAAGUUCAACAUCACCAAGAUGGCCAGCGAAAGCUUGGGUGAUGAUGUUCAUGGAGAAAGUGGCCACCCUGCUGAAGAUAGCAGGCCCAACGAUUUCCCAUAGCUUCUUUGUCUCAGUCCAGACUCUAGACGCAAGCGGGUCUUGAUUUUCUUGACCGACAUCGUGGUUGACUGGAUCAUCUGGUAACAAGGUAUCAUGGAGAUCAUCGCCAUUUCUGCUGAUUGUGCCCAUUAAAGAAAAAAUGCACCACUAUAUUUUUCUUCGCGACUUUUGAGGAAGCUAGAGAGAGCGCUGGGGGGAGAGAGGGUCAGAAAGGAAAGGUAUAAAUAAAAAACGUUCUUACCCAAAUCUGGAAUUAUGAAAAAUAUGGACAGAUUAUUGUGGACUGCCUGUUACUGGAGGUCCAGGUUACUGUUCACCAAAUUAUUUCUAGCGUUAGAGCUGUCUUCCAUAUAUAUAAAAAAUAUAUCAUAUUUUCAUUAUGUAAAAAAUCAUUAUCAAUUUUAUUUUUUAAGAUAGCGUUUAAUAUCAUGUUAAUAAUUAUUUAUUUUUUAAAUUAUUUUUUAUUUUUAAUAUCAAUACUCAAAAAAAUAUCAUAAAAAUUAAUUCAGUAUAAAAAAAUAUUUUAAAAAAAUGGAUUCCUUGCAUAACGUACGAAAUACCAACUCUCCUUGUAAAUGCUUUUAGGCGACAGCUUUUGAAUGUAAUAAAUAUGCUCGUGGCCUUGGUAGACACAGCUUUUUGAAUCGUAAUUUUCUACGGAAACUAAUUGAGUGAAGAAUCUGAUAUGGUAUACUAUGAUUUUUUCAGUGACGUCAUUUCAUACGUAUGUCACCUAACGUGUUAUGUUGCUGGUUAGGAAUUUGGAGACGUCAGUAUACAACACAGUAUGUCUUUAACAAUUCUACUGCAUUUUAAUUAUUAAUUAAUAGAUUCUAUUUAAAAUCUUCAUUUAAAAAUAUUUAUUUUUUUACAUACUUACUAAAUUGCCUUCUAGAAUUUUACAUCAGUUCCGUUUAUUUUAUGGAAAUUAAUUUUUUAGAAAUUAAUUUUUAAAUUUUUUGUAUUUAUUUAUUAUUAGAAAAAUUAUUCAACGGAAAAUACUUUCUAGUUAAAAAAAAUUGACUUGAUUUUUAAGAAAGUGUUUUUUUUUUAUUUUGAGCGAAAAACACUGUUCAAAAGUUGUAAAAAAAUUAAAAAUAUCAUGUUAUUUACUGAUUAUAUCAAAUUUGAUCCUCAAACUUUUGAUUGCUAUAUAAUUUAUUUUGAUUUUUUUUUCAAUUUCAUCCCUUAAAAUUUAAUUUAAUUUGAUUUUUAUAUCAAUUUUUGUCCUUAUUUUUUUUAUGAUUGUUAUUUUCUUUUCUCUUAUUAUUUUUUUAAUUGAAAUUUUUUAUUUAACAGAUUUGGUUCUUAUUCUUUUAAUUGUUAUUUAUUUUAUUUGAAAUAAUUUAUGAAAUUAUAAUUCUUUUUAAAUUUCAUCAUCUUUCAAACUUUUUAUCUUUUAGAUUUGAUUUUUAUUAUUUUAUUUGUUAUUUAUUUUAUUUGAGAUAAUCUAUAAAAUUAUAUUUAUUUUCAAUUUUAUUUUCAUUUAACUUUUAAAUUUGUAAGAUUUGUCACUAAUUGUUUUAAUAAAUAAAAAAUAUUAAUAAGUUAUUUCUCAACUCAUUUUCCAUGAUAUAACCAAACACUUGAAAGUGUUUUUCAAUUUAUUUUUUAUGAUACUAAAUAAUUCACUUCUAAAAAUUUAUUUUCUUAAAAAAUUUACUUUUUAAAAUUAAAUAAUUUUCCGGCAAAUAAACAUGGUUUAAUACUCCAUCAUAAAGUACAAUAUCUCCUGGAACAGUAUAAUCUAACGAUUUCAAUCUAAUAUUCCGUUGAUUAGUGAGCUGGUGGCUUUUUUAAGGCUUCCGGGGAUUUUUUUCCGUUAAAUGUUUUUAUUGAAUAUUCAAAGGUAAUUUAAAAAAAAAUUAAAGAAUAGAAUUUUUCUGAUUAAAAAUUUCUAAAAUGAACUUAUCAUUCAAAAAAUAUUUUAUUAUAAUUUAUUUGUUUUUUAAUAGUGAGAAGUGAACGUAUUGGUAUAUUUUUAAUUAAUAUAUACAUGCAAGCACGAUUUUUUGUUUUUUUGCAAUGGAUUAAUUUCUUUUUUUGUAUUGAGAUGAGGUUUUAUAUAAAAUAAUUUUUAAAUUUUUUUCAUAAAUACUAUAUGAUUAAAUUGUGAAAUUUAAUUAUCCUUAAAGUUAAUAAAUAUAUGAAAUAAUUUUAACUUUCUAUUUAAAUGUAAAAUAUUAGGAUUUACUUAAUCUACAUUGACCACUCUCGUAUACAUCAAAACGGUGCUGAUGAAAAAUAUUUUUAUAAAUAAUUUAAAUAAAAAUAAUUUAAUUAACCGUCACAGAUAAUACAUUCAAUUAUUAUUAUUAUUAUUACUAUUAUUCUUUUAUGGAUGAGAACAAAAAAGUGGCUGACAAAUUUAGUCACGUUGAUUAAUAUGAAAAUUGACAAUUGAAGUUGACAAAACACCAAUAAUUACUGGCUAACUUGACGAGAUUCGUCAGUUUAGAGUGUUAAAAAUACGUGUCCUUCUUAAACUUUAAAUUGAAAAAAUUGAUCAUUUUAAUUAAUAUUAAACUUGACAUAAUUCGUUUUUAAUUUAUUUUUUAAGUUUAUAACCAACAAUUUCAGCCACGUCAGUCAUAACCGAAACCUGGAAAAAAAAAAAACACGGAGAGUGGAAAGAUUUUAGCAAGAUACUAUAUUUCAUUUAACACUCCAGCUCCAACUUUUAUUUUUUUUAAUAUUAAAAAUAUAUAUAAAAAAACUCUGGUUAUCAAAAUCUAAACUAACAGAUGAGAAGUCACUUGCCGAUAUAAACAAUUAAAAAAAAAACCGAUGAUGUAUCAAUUGUUUUUAAACAAAAAAAGAAAAGAAAAUAAGAUCAGAAUUACGAGUCUAGCUAUAAAUAUUAUUUUUCACACAUGUUGGCAACUUUAUCUGCUACCGGUAGAAUUGUUGGUGGGAAACGAAGAAACUUUUGCAUGGAAUUAUGUUUAGUGUGGUAAUGCGAUUUGUGUUUUUUAUAUUAUUUUUCUGUUAAAAAAAAUAUUAACUCAAAAUUUUUUUAACUAUGACAAAAAACAUAUUAAGAUAAUAACAUUAUUUUUAUUUAAAUAUAUGAUAAAAGAUAUAUUUUUUAAAAUAAAAAAUAAAAUUAAAAAUGAAAAUUAAAAGAAAAAAAUAUUUAAAGAUGACGUUUUAAAUUAAAGAACAAAAAAAAAUAAAAAAAUAAAAAGCCAGGUGCGUGGAUUUAGGUGGCCUAAUAUACGUAAGCCUUAAAAAAACCCAAGCAAGGGCCUCUCAACAUGGACUUGCUUGUCUGGGCUAUGAUAUUUUUAUUUUAUUUUAUAAAGAGACAAAUGACCCGUUUUUUUUUAAAAAAAAAAUAAUACAAGCAAGGAGUUGCUUGUAGAGACAGGCGAUGCGUUGUUUGUUUGUCUAGAUUCUAAUCACUAUUAUAGUGGGAGGAAAUCAGGGCAGAUUUUUGUUUAUUUUAAAAAUAUAUUUUUCAACUUAUUUUCACAUAAAAGUUGUAAUAAACACCUUUAGAGCAUAAGAAAAUAAUUUAUCAACUUGAAAAAGAAAAGUUCAAAAACACAAAAUCAAUCCGAGGUUUUGAUAUGUUUGUUCAAGCAAUAUUGAUAUUUAAAACAAUUACCAUCAAACUCCUCUCGAACUUGUCAACACCAAAAUUAACAUUUUUAAUAGAUGAAAUUGGUGUUAAUCGAUGGCCUGGUCUUUUCUAAUUGGAAUUCAGUGAUUUUCUCUCUUAUUUUUUAAAUCACAGACUAAAAAUUAAAAAAAAUAAUUUUUCGUACAGAAACUGAAAUCACAAAAACUAGAGGGACUUUCAUUGAAAAAGAAAAUGUAAAAGGACUAAGAUGAACCUUUUCCUUAAAUUUUAUACUGGCCAUGGGAUUUAUCUUUAUUUUAUGCUAUAGUCACCUUUUUUUAUUUUCCCAUCCUUGACAAAUUUUCACAUAUUUGUCAUAAAUUUGCCCAUUGAAGAUUGCAAUUGAAAAAAAAACAAGGAAAAAAAAUUUCAGUGUAGCUAUAACGAAAUACCUAAGCAUUUUAGUAUAUUCAGUAAUUUGAAUAUAUAGUCGUCGGCUUGUUGUUAAUUCUCAAUUUCUUAAAAAUAUCUAUUUUGCAAUCGUUAAAACUUCAAGCAUCAUGUUUUCCGCUGUAUAAUAAUAAAAGCUUGAAAUAAAUCAAGUGAUAUAUUUUUCCUGUGAUUUUAAAUUUGAUUUCUAUAUUGCUAUAUGAUAUCUAUUAAAAACUUAUAUAAUUAUUAAUUUUAAAAUUCAUGAGAUUAGUCGAGAUAUAUACAAAUUAGUCCAAACAUUUAUAUUAAUAAAAAUAUAUAUAUAUAUAUUUCUUUUUAAAUGAUAUUUAUAUUAGAAAAAACCCCUAAUUUUCAAGCUCUUACUCCACGGCGUACGUAUUGUUACGAGAGAAAGGGACAGUGCGACUUUUCUUUUAGCCUUUUAGGUCAGUGGCGUCACCGGUAGGCUGAGAUAGGACUGUACAUGCUGAGCUGGCGAAUUAUAGAGUAGACAGUAGACAGUACAUCCACUAGAGAUCGUUUUGUAAUGGCCCGCAUUUAUUGCCACAGUUGCCAAUAAAACAAGAAACUAAACCAGCCAUCUACGUGUGUGCAUAUUUUCUUUCCAAGCCAAAGAUAUUUUUAGGAAAAAAUAAAAACCAUUAUGUAGCCUCUUCCUUUUAUUUAUUUUUUAUUUAUCAAUGAGAAUGGGUGGAUGAAUCUCUUUUUGGUUCAAUUACCGGAAGACAGUAUGGAGUGUAAAAUUACCCCCAAAUUAUCAAUAUUAUUUCUUUUUAUUCCUUCUCCUAUUUUUUUUUGUCUCGAAAGGUAUAUAUCUAAACAAAUUUGUAUUUUUAUAUCAACAUAAAUUUGUAUUUGUUUCUCCAAUCAGUACUACUAUUUUUUUUUUAAUUUUAAUUAUUUCCUAGCUCUUUCUUCUAGUAGUUUAUCCUUGAAUUUAUCAGUGAUUUAAACAUCUUUAAAAACUAAUGUUUGCAUUUUGUUUUUCAUCGUGGACAUUCUUAAUUAACAAUUACUCUUACUGUAAUUAUUCUUCUACAGUCCUAAUUUCAAUUUUUAUCCUCGUGGUAAUUGUUACCUUAAAGGAUUGUGAGAAGUGACGUGAGAUUAGGCUCUGUCCGUACAUUCUUAGGUAUUGUUGGUUUGUUGCCAAUAAUUAAAAUAACAAUAUGCUUCCCGACAAAUUAAUCAAUUAACUGUGCUACCAAAUCGUAUUUAGAAAAAUCAAACCCUAAUCACAGGAAGAAUCCGAGAGGACGAGAGAAAAUAUCCAAACCAUGAAAAUUAUACAAAGGGAGCUAUCCUUUUCUGCGUGGGUCAAUGCCAGCAAAUAGAAGAGUCGGACAAGCAACUUCUUUUAUCCGACUCUCACUGAUGGCGUCAAAUUGACAUAAUGACUGUACCGAGCUAAUGUGUUCAAGGAGCCGAAAAUUAAAUUACCAGAUAGAUGAAUGCUCGGUGUUUGUUAAUUUACUUCUUCUUUUCCUUCCCUUUUCUGAUUUUCAUAAAGAGCGUCCAAUAGUGAAAUUUCUAAAUUCCGAGCACGAGUGCUAUGAUUAAAAACAUUUUCAAGCAAAUCGUACGUCGUCUUUAAAGAAAAUCGAGAGGCACUCGAUUGGCUCGAUGAAGAAACACUCUUUGUCUACUAUUAUCUGGAUAUUAUUAUAAUUUUAAAAUACACUCUUAAUUGGUAACCAACCAACUAUCUCUGGCUACCAAUGCACAAUUUAAACCUAAAAUCCUUUUUAUUCUCAUUUCUUUAUUUUUUUUCCUCGUUUCUCUCCUUAUAGCCACUCACCUCUCCUUCUCUUACCACCGCCUGCAACCUGCCCCCCCCCCCUCCCCCUUCUCUCUCUCUCUCUCUCUCUCUCUCUCUCUCUCUCUCUCUCUCUCUCUCUCUCUCUAUAUAUAUAUAUAUAUAUAUAUAUAUAUAUAUAUAUAUAUAUAUAUAUCCAAAUUGACGACAAUCUCUCUUGAUAACAUUGAAUGUUAGAGUUUUAAAUUAGAGGUUAGGUUAAUUAAAUAUAAUUUAAGUUGAUAAUUAGAUUAUUUUGUUAACCAACUAAUGAUUUUAGGUUGUUAAUUGUUGAUUGUGAAUUAAUAAAGUUAUGUGAUAAACUAGUUAGUGUUGAUUUAUAUUAAAUUAUGAAUUAUACCGAAUUGUAUAUAAUAUAAUAAUACUAGCUAUAAAAUAUAUAAAUUUGAUUGAUAAUUUUGUUAUGGUAGUGAAAUUUAAUGAAUGUAGGAGUUCGCCGAUUAAUUUGAUGAGUUUAGAUUUUAGCCGAUUAUAUUACUGUUAUGGUUUUCUUAAUAAAUCACGCAAUUUGAUUAACUUCAAUAUAUUAAUAAAUUAAAAUUAUGUUUUGUUGUGUUGUGUUGUUUAAUAUAAUGUCUGAUGAUUUAGAAAUGUUAUACUUUUAUAGUGAUAUCAUUGUCAAUACUGAUAAUGGUAUCAUUUAUAAUGGAGGAAGUCAUGAAUUCCUAACUGCUAUAUCAGACAUUUUCUUUAACGAGUUAUCUAGAAUUUUAUGUGAUCAACUUGGCUGGAAUAUAUUUGAAAUAGAAGUUGAAAUUACUUAGGGGAUGUUGCAAACCAAGGUUAGUCAAGCUCGAUUUGUCACUAUACUAAUUUGCAGUGACGGGAGUGUAAAUUCAAUGUUUGAGUUUACGAGGAUUAAUGAGAUUAAUAUGCUGGAGCUCCACUUGAAUAAUUGAACUAGACAAGAAGACUUUUCUGGUAUGGAGUUAACUCGGGUUCAAGUAACUCUCAUAGAACCACACAAACAUCAGAAACAGCUAAUCCAUCUAUGUUAGGUGGUAAUGCUAAUAGACAAAUAUUGGUGCAAAAAAUUAUUAAUAUGGAAGCUCAACUGGGUGUUAAAUUGUCUCCAUAUUGUUAUGGAGAAUCCAUACCAAGUGAUGACUAAGAUGACCAUCACAUUGAUAGAGUUGAGGUUGAGAGGAAAGAUGAGGACGAUGGGUUAGUUGAGCUUGUUAAUCAAUAUAUGGCACCUCUUGCUCCUGAAUUUGAGGUUGUGAGUGCGGAUAACCAAUACGGAUACAUUGAUUGGGCUAAUAGUCAUAGACAUUCAAGCUUAUUAGUUGAUGAAUCGAAGGUUAGAAAAAAAUUCAAAGAGAAGUCCUAACGUGUUAAUGUAGUAAAUAAGUGACAUAUAAAAUUCAUUGCAAUACAAGGGUUUAUCGUUCAACAAAAACCUAUGUUCAUUUGAAGUGUGUUCAAGAACCAUUUUGUAGAUGGUUUUCGCGUAGGAGAUAUCACUAGGAGCGACUCCGUUAAAUUGAUAUCUUUGGACAUUAAUUUUAAGACCUCUCCGGCACAUGUGAUAGAGGACCGGUUGAUUUUGUAUGCUCGAACAUGCGUGUUACAUAUGUUUGGAGGUCUUGUUUUCAUGAGUACUCUUGGUAGUGCAGUACUGUUGUUUUUUCUAACACUACUUAAGAAUCUUUGAGCCAUUCCUAAUUACAGUUGAGGGGACCAUUCUUGCAUAUCUAUACGGGCAACUAUGUAAAGCAUGACUAGAAAAAAGAUAAAUUAUCGGGUGUCUACUAUUUCUUCAGGUAUAUAUAUUUAAAAUUAUUUGAUUAUUAGAAUUGAUGGAAUUUAAAAUACUAGCUUAUAAUUGUCAAUGUUGGUUAAUAUAGCUCAAUCAUAAAAGCAUAUUCAUAUUGAACGUCUAGAGAGUUGGGGUAAUAAUAUGCUAGACAUUGACACUCAUGUGCCAUUAUCCAUCAGUUUUAGAUAAUAAAAAAAGAAAAUUGAUUAUAGUCAACGAGUUAUUUAUAUAAAUUAAAUGUAAAAAAUGUACUAACUUUAUGAUUUGUCAUGUCAUAUGGCAUGAAGCUAGAUAUUUCAUAGUAAAUCUCAUUCAUAUCCACAAGUUUUACCAAUAUGAGUUGGAUGCACAACAACCACAUUAGGUUUGUGUUAUAAAUAUAUUGAAUUUUUUUUUUAUUUGAACAUAAAUUAUUUAGUUUUGAUUUGUUAUCUAAUAUAAGUCUUUCAUAUAUUAUGAUAGGUUAUAUGGAUGUCAUAUAUAGAGGACUUGAUACUUUCAACUUUGCCUAUAUAUCGUAAGGGAUCUGAUCUCUAGUUAGCAUAGGUUCCAUUACACUGCUUUGAUAUUGUUGAGAUGUAUUGUCCAAAUGAGGUAAUGCAAUAGUUUGAAAUAUCUCAACAUAUAUCGGAUUAUGUUGAUACCGGUGACAAGUUGCACAAUAUUAGUUGCCAAGGUAAAUGCGAGGAGAAUUGGUUGGUGAUUCAUCCAUCUUACCUAGAUAUUUGAGAUGCUAACAUAGAUCAUGUUUUUUAGGAGCGACAUCCAACAAUUGAUGUAGAUACUUACAUGAGAUGAUAUCUUUUUAUUACACACUGUUUUAUUACACCUACCCAGUCAUGUUUCCCGGGGUGCCCAUGCAAUCUAAAAAUUGGAUUUCAGUGUACUCCAAUACUUAAAAAUACUAUUUAACAUUCAUUGUAAUAUUGUGAAAAGUACUUUUGAUUCUUGGACAGAGUUACUCAAAAACCCCAUUUUCAUUCACCAAGGUAAAAAAGCUAACUUUGAUCUGAAAAUUAUAUUAAUAUUUAAUGUGAAUUAAACAGUGUUAUCAUUGUUAUUUUUAUAUGAUUUUUUAUGAGUUAAUUAUUCUUUGAUUUUUCAUAAAGCAACAUAAAAACUUUUAUUUUUGUUUACAACUUGUUUUUUACAUUACAACAAGUUUUUUCUUAAAUAUAACAUGCUAAUAACAAACAAAUAUGUUUUUUAUAAAAACAAUUAAUAAAAAAAUGAAAGUUUUGUCUCCAAAAAUAAAAAUCUUCACUCUUUUAUUUAAAUUAUUAAGAUACUUGCAAAUAUUUAUUUAAAUUAUCUUGUAUAUAUUUUCAACUCUUAUAAAUAUUUAUUUUAGUCAUCUUAUAAAUAAAUAAAAAUUAGUUUUGAAAGUUAGGAACUUGACUUAUAGUAUUAUACCGAGACCCAACUUAAGAAUAAUAAUAAAAAAUCCUAUCUUCUCUGACACGCGUAUCGUCAACGGCCUCAAUGAUUGUUCUUGUCUAUUCUGAUAAAUACUCCACGUGACUGCCUUCCUUAUUUCUGGAAAAGCUAUUUAAGACUUUAUUUACUGAAUUGAUUUUCUUUUUCUUUCGAGAAUGCGAAUGAUCAUCGAUAAUUUUUGUCCCACCCGAAUAAUGCGCGCUAUAGGUCCACGAAAGGAAGCCAAGUAGAUCUCGUCCAAGAGACAUCCGUCCCCCUUUGCUACUCUCUCGCCAAAAAAAAACUAAAAAAAGUCCGAAUUUACUACUCCUUUCGUCAAGAAAGUCUGGCGCCCCCACUUCCCUUCACGUUGUUUAAAUAGAAUUAGAAUUCAAUUUUGUCUCCUCUGCCUUGUUCACAUUUUAUCUCGAAAAUUAUCUGGAAAAUACUCUUUUUCCAAGUUCUAUCAUCAUAUUGUUUCUUCGAAGAAAAUCCUUCCGAGACCAUCUCUUCUUUUAAGAUAUGAAGAAACUGUACACUUCGCUAUAUAAUGAUUCUUAGAGAUUAGGCGUUUGACACUACGUUUGAAAAGCAUUUUUAAAAAAAUUUAAUUUUUUUGUUUUAAAUUAAUAUGUUUUUGAUGUUUUCAAAUUAUUUUGAUAUACUGAUCUCAAAAAUAAUUUUUUAAAAAUAAAAAAAUAUUAUUAGCAUACUUUUCUAAGUGAAAAAUACUUUGAAAAGCAACUACAACCACACUUUCAAACACGCACUCAUAUGACCACUUUCUCAUUCUUCUAAAUUUAACUAUUCCAGUAUAAUACUAAAUAACAUGUGAUGUCAGUUAUUUUUUUAAAAAAAUCAGAAAUGUAUUAAAAUAUUAUAUAUUUUUUAUUUUUUAUUUUUUAAAAUUUAUUUUUAACAUAUCUAAAUAUAUAUAAAAAAUUAAUAUUUUUAAAAAUAUAAUUUAACCACAAUUUCAGACACGUCUCACCCACAUCAGAUCUCUAAAGACAGGAGACGUGCCCCAUAUAACUUUUGGACUCCACCAAAUAUCUACUCAUCUAGCCUAAUCGCGGUGAUUAAAAUCGUUGUGUUUUGGGGUCCAGAGCGGAGAAAAAUCUCUGGGCUACAGAAGUAGCACACGUGUUCCACUAUUUCCACUCUUCGUCAAUUGAACUAUUGAAGCCCGUAAUUUAAAAAAGGGGAUCCAAUAUCCCUUCUAUUCCAAUUCAAGAUAGCGUUUAGAGGACAUUAAAAAAUGGGGUGAAAGGGUACAAAAGUAAAUAAUCUCAAUCAAUCAUCCAAACUUGUAAAAAUUGCUUCUCCAAAAUCUAAAAAAGCUCAAUGGAGUUGAAAGUGAGCUCAACCACCGCACCUUUCAUUGUAUUUUUUGCUUUCUUCCUCUUUGACAUUGAACAAGAAAAAUAUGUUGACGUGUUUUAAUGAACAUAACUACUCAAUACCAAGUUCAACUAGUGUGACGACAUCAUCUCUUCAAAGUCUCAUUUAUAUAUAUAUAUAUAUAUAUAUAUAUAUAUAUAUAUAUAUAUAUAUAUAUAUAUGCGCCUUAGUUGCUUGCUAGCUAUAAUAAAAUUCAAUAACAUUAUAACACUAAAAAAAAGCAUAGGCUUUAGGUAAUUCUAGAAAGAAAAAACUGCUUAAAAUAUAGGGUAAAAUAAAAACAGAUACAAAUCAAAUUAAAAAUACGUAUCAUGAUACAUCACAAACAUUUAUUCUUGAAAAUAACUGUAUGUUGAUAUAUCGAGGUAUUAAGAUUUCAUCGAUCAUCCAUAUAAAAAAGAUAUAAACUUAUAUAAUGCAAAGUCAAGAUAGACAAGAUAAAAGAAAUUAACCUUUUUUUCAUACAAUAUCUUAUUGAGAUUCUAUAUUAUAAUUAAUAAAUUAAAUUUAAUUAUACAGCUAAUACAGUUCCGUUUCGACUACCUUAAUACUACACUCCUUCCCUCUUCUUAAUUUCCUGUGUAGCAGCAGUGACUACCUAAGUGAUGUUUUUGAGCAAUAGCUACAUAAACACUUUUUGCACUUUACCUUUGUUGACUGACAAUCAUAUAUGCUUCACCAGUUUGCCUAUCUUUAAUAAUUAAUCCCCGCUGGCCAUGCAUGUGCUUCCUGGAGUCAACAGCAAUAAGUGCUCUUUGAACAGGCUCAUUUAUCCGAACACCUCAAGAUAAUCCCUAGAGCGGGAGAUUUGUUUAAUUGAGACUCAAAAGAUAAAUAAAUAAAAAAAAAACAAUAAUCAUCUUCUAUAAUGCAGAGAUUCAAAUAUAAAAUUAAAAAGAUUACAGUUAACUUGAACUAAACAAAGAGCUUUAAUAAAGAUAACGCAUAACUAUCAUGAGAUUAACGAAGGUAGCUUUUAAUUAAGCAUGAUUGAGAGGACUGCAUGUUCCGAACGAGAAAGCCAAACGAUUAGAAUAAUCACAUAUUUAGCUUGCCAUGCAAACAAAUAACCAUUAUCCUUGAUGCAUUAGAAGUGUCAAAUCUGUGAUGAGAGACGGUAGGCUCCAUGGCUGCAUGUCACUAAAAAAUAUACAGCCUCUUGGGAGGUUGCUCCUUCAAGAGCUAUAGGCACGCCUCUCAUUCAUGACAUCAAUCGAUCAUACAGCCUCGUGGUUAGCUUUUCAUAAUUACUGGCUAUGGGCUUUGAAUUUUACAGCUAACACGCCAAGUUUACUCAAUAUUUUCUAUCGAAGGUCUUGGCCAUGGUGAGCCAGGUGAUGGCUCGAUCGACACCUAACGUUAAAUUGAGACUAGGAGUCAAUGAAGGAACGAAACAGUAAAGCCCACACAAAUCAAGUCCAGUCAUACAGCUAGCAUGGUGAAGAAUAAAAUAAAAGCUGGGCUUGCCAUGCUGGGCUUUACAACUAUGGUACGCAUCCAUCGGAUCUCGUCCUAUCAGAAGAUUAUUUUAAGAUAGUGAUCAAAUCUCCUCCGAUCAGAAGAUAUGCUUUCAGGAUCAAUAUGGGAUUUCUUCAUAUCAAAAGAUGUUUUCACUAUCAUCAUCAGAUCUCUUCAUAUUGCGAGAUCGUUUUAUGGUCGCUAUUAAAUUUCAUCUUAUCAAAAGACCAUUUCAAGAUUAGCAUCAGAUCUUGUCCUUUAGGAAGGCUCUUUUAAGAUCAAACUGGGAUUUCUUUUCGUCAGAAUAUCCUUUCAUGAUCUCUCUUCGGAUCGUAAGGCUAUUUUGUAAACCCGUAAGAGAAAAAUGUUUAUGUCUAGGGGUGAAAAUGCCUUGUAAUUAGUAUACAAUCCUCAAACAAAAUAAGUAAAAAAUAAAAUAAAGCAAACUCAUACUAAGCGCUUUGAAUGAUUAAUAGAAGAAAGUGAUCCGACGAUAAGCUUGCUAACGAAACCGUGAGGUUCAUUAUUUCUAUUUAAGAACCUAUUCCAUUAUUACUUUCUAAAACCCUCAUGUAACAACUUUAGAUAUAUUUUUCAUUUACUCUCAGUGAUAUGAGGAGAUUUAAAAUUCUUCCACACCUUAAAGUUAUCCGAAUCGACUCUUCUCUUAGUAUAGAUAUAUAUGUUAUAAUAGAAAUCAUGCAAUAUGGUUCAAAAAUUCUUUAAACAAAAUAAAUAUAUAAAAAAUUAUAAUUUCAUAAAAAAAAAUACUUCACACGGUAAAACUUAUCUAGUUUCGUUAUGAUUUUCCAAAACUCGCCUGGCUGUCUCAGAAUUUGCAGCAUCGCACCAAAAAAAUUUCUUAUAAUUAUUUUUGUAAAAUAAUUAGUUUUUAAAUUAUUGAUUAUUUAUAUACUAACCUUAAACUUCUCUCACCAUUUCUCAACAAAAGGCAUCCAUUCAAAAUGAUCUCUAAGCUGGCUCCGUCGAAGCAAAGUCACUUUUUAUCGCUGUAAAUGCAGGAAAUGCGGGAGGGAGAAAUAACUUGGUGUCUCUUGUAUGAUUUGUUGGUUGAGAAAGCAUGCUGUUUUCUUUACUCUGUGAUGUCAUCAGAUAAAUAGUACGGUCAAUGUUAUUGUAUGAAUUGACUUCCGUAGACGAGGCGCUACGUAACACAGAACUAAGAUCAAAUGCUCUUUACAAGCUCUUUUUGUAAUUAUUAGUUGAAUUAUGUCCUCAAAGCUUAUCUUAUGCAUAUGAGAUGUCGUUUUCACUCUCCUGCAGAUCAGACCUUAUCUGGUUUGGCUGGAAGUCCAGCAUAUGCUGUCCCUGAAGUUCCAUUGGGAAACUAUUCUGAGAAGGUCGACAUUUGGAGUGCUAAUGUCUCUUCCUACAUGCUCUGUUGGUCGUAAGCCUUCCAUUUCAAGCUGACUCCUUAUAGGCUGGUUGAGGCAAUCAAGAAUGUCCAGCUUGAUCUUCACACAGGGAUAGGAGAGUCAAUAUCGAAUCCUGCACGCGAUCUGUUGCAAGGAUGUUGACAAGGGAUGUAUCAGCCAGGAUCACCACAGAUGAAGUACUUGAUAAAUAUCUGAGACACAAUGAAAUAAGACGACGGACAUAUGAUUGCAUUUUGUUUUCUCUUCUGGGUUCACAUGUCUGCUCGUAUUGUGGCACUGGGUUUUUUGUUGCAAUUUUAUCCAACUAGAUGGGUAGGACUUAGACUACUUAGUGACAACUUCUUUAAUGAGUGGCAGUUUGCCUUUUAAGAGAACCUCACUCUGUAGUUCCUUGUCUGCUUAGCAGCACCUUGAUGACAAGGUUUCUAGGUGAUUGCCUGUGUUUAUCUCCUCGACGAAAUCUCUAUUGUAUACUUGUCUCAGAGGUCUUUACAUCUCUGGGAAGUAACCCCUCUGACUGAAAGAAGAAUUUUCAGCUUCCGUGCUUUGCAUGUGGUGAGCUGCCAUUUAAAUUAGAUUGAUGGUGCGUGAUGCAUCCUUAUAUGUCAAAAAACCUAAUAAUUCUUUGCAAGUUUCCCUAGUGUGAAAUUAGGUUUUCCUUCUUGGUUGCUUGUUUCCAAUUUAAUCUCAAUUUCUAGUAACUCCUCGUAGGUAUAGUAGAAAGUCCUCAAUUCCCGGCCUUAAGGUGCUGGAUUCUUAAUUAAAGGCUACUCCAAAUUUCCUGAGUUGUAAUUUAAAUCUCGUUCUUUUCUUCCUGCGUCAGUUUUUUAUAGUGUACAUUUGUUUGAGAUUUUAACAAACUUCUAGAACUUAAAGAGUUACCAUUUUCACUAGGUUUACAGUCCAUGCAACCUUGUCUUCUCGCAAACGUGAUUGUCAAAUCCAUUUUCACCGAGCUCUUGUUAACUCUCUCGAUUUAUGCAUGGUUUGUGAUCUUUGAUAAGUUUCUUGGACUCUAUAAUGGUGGAAAGUGGAGUUUUUCAUAAAUUUAUUGCUGGUUCUGCUGACUAAAUUGACUGUUAACUAGUGUCUUCCCAGGGCAUCCAUGAUUUUGUUCUACCCAGAGCACCUUAAAGAUACUGUCCAUCAGGUCAAAAACAAAGAAUCAAGUUGCAGAAACUUCGUCCCAACCUGCAAAUGCACCUGUUAGAGUUGGCUGUCCCGAAGAGGACUCAAAUCAGCUUCCAUCUGAUAGUUAAACCUGCAAGUCAGAAGAGCAGGACGAAUAUGAGCAAAAGAGGAGUAGAUGUGGACCCACUGGCCCAAUAGAGCCAGAGUGAUCAUCUAACAUCACAGCGAACAAUUUGUGUAGAGCAUUUUGAUUCUGCUGACAGAUUAACACCACUAACGUUGCUCAUCUCCACUGUUUUGUGAGCUGGGAGAGAAGAUCUGAAACAGCCACACCUUAACUCCAAUUUUCAGUGGGCACUGGGCGAAGAUGGUUACAGAGAAACUUAACCAUAGCUGGUAAAUAUGGUGUCAUUUCUUUUUUAUCAAACAUGACUGUAAUUUCUUUCAGUAGCCAUGUUCUCGAUUUAACUCCAAUAAUGUUUCUAGACUGAUUAGCUGAGAAAUUUGUUGAACAGAAUUUAGUAAAUAGUGCCAAUGAGCAAUUAUGAUUUAUGUAUUGAUGUCAGUUUGCAUGGAUUAGUUCCUUGCUUUUCGAAGUCUGUUUUGGACGUAAAAUUGCAGGCCCUUUCUAAUUUGUUUCAAGGAUCUGUGUAAAAGGGCUCUUCACUUUGAGCUGCAGAGAAGCAAUGAUGUCGAAGUUGAACAACAGUUGAUGCCCUCGGGAUUGUAAUGUAUUGGCAUUGCCUUCCUGAUCCAAUCCCUCUCAAAUGCUAAACUCUGUGCCACCGUCAAUUGUGGAUCUCGAUGCAUAAAAUCUUAUAAACAAUAGUUCCCCAGGUUUUGUUUCUAAACGUCAACUGCUGAACAGGCACAGUUCGAUGAACAUAGGAAUGUGGACCCGUAACAUCUUCUAUUCUUCUCUCUUUAAUUUUAUGUUUGUAGCAAGUUGAUGUGGUUUCAAUAAGGUCUAGACGUUGGAAAAGUGAAUCUUUUCCUUUUUAUGUCUUAAUCUUAUCGCUCGGAACACUAAUCUUAGCCUCUCACGACUAGUUCUCCUCCGCAAGCAACAUGACGUUAUAAUUUCAUAAACACAGGGCCAGUAGCUAAUUAACAAGAUUGGAACAUGACAUCAUGGACAAUAAAUAUUUAAACGCUGCCAUUCAUGUUUGGGAGUGCUGCAUAAAAUACUAGUUUAUAAAAAUUUAAUAUUUAAUAUUUUUUUAUUGUUUUAAUAUAUUAAUAUUAAAAAUAAUUUUUUUAAAAUAAAAAAAAUAUUUUAAUAUAUAUCUAAAAAAUUAAAAAACAAUUAAGGUACGAGAGAAGCUGGCAGUAAAAUAAUCCUCAUCGCUGGACCUGGAGGGGAGACUAGCUAUAUUUUAUGCAUUAACCUUUGACCAAUCACGAUUAACAGAAUUGUUUGUCAGGGCCACUUCAAUCUCGAGAGCUCAACUCCUCACAAAAAGCCAUAAAAGAGGCUACAGGUUUCCACCACUUCCAUUUCAAAACUAAGUUAGGUAUGGAUGUGGAAAAGACCACCAAAACAUUUACCAAAAAGAAGAGUUCAUGUCACUCAAACAAGAUCAUCACAUGUGUUUUUCUACUGCUGCUGAUUCCCAUACUCGUGCAUUUGCAAGCUUCCCCUUUCUAUUUCUUUUCCUCUCCCACUGCUACUUCACGAGCUUUCUUCAACAAAUGGAAAGGAAUAGCACUUGACGCCUCCGCUGGUCCUUCUAUCCCCAAAAACAGUGACGGUUUGAUCUCAAAGCUCCGAGAGUCAGUCACUUUCCUACCCCUGAAAGAUCUGAGGUUCGCUGAAACUGCCAUGGAGGGGAACACUUGGUUUAUGAGCUCCUUGAACGACACCCAUGAGGCGAACGAAGCUGAAUACCUCUAUUUCCCUUCACAAAUGUCCAAGGGGCGGCUUCUAUGCAUCAAAGGACGUCACGCGACAGAUGGCACCAAGAACUCAUACGCCUUGGUUUGGCCAGAAGCUCUUCCAGACUCUGCCACACUCAUGAAGGGCUUGACCUUUGUGUCAGACACAUUCUAUGAUUAUGGCAAUUUGUGGCAUGGAUUGACUGGUAUGGCGCCCUUUGUUGGUUGGUCUAUGAAAAAUAAGUGCCUGAAUCCUACAAGAUGGGUACUGUUCCAUUGGGGAGAGUUGAGGUCUAAAAUGGGGUCAUGGCUACAACACCUAAUGCAAGCUAACUUUGGAGAUGUUAAAAUUGAGGGAUUUGGAGGAGAUGGGCCGUACUGCUUUGAGAAGGCAGUUGUGAUGAGACAUAACGAGGGAAGUAUGGGAAAGGAAAGGAAGCUUCAGGUUUUCGAUUUGUUGCGAUGUAAUGCUAGAAGAUUUUGCGGUAUAAGCCCUGAAGGGAAGGGACAAGAGACCAAUGAAAGAGGUGAACCGAUUAUAAGGCUGACGCUGCUCAUGAGGACAGGUUCAAGGUCAUUCAAGAAUGCAAGCGCUGUGACAGACAUAUUUGCACGGGAGUGUGCAAAGGUGGAAGGCUGCACAUUCAAGGUAGCUCAGUCAGAAAAUCUAAGCUUCUGCGACCAGGUUUGUUUCUUUUCCUACUCUUUUUACAGUGAAAAAAAGACGAUAUUUUCAAAGAGAAUUCAUGCAAAACAUAAUAUACCCAAGAUAUCGAUACAUUCAUUACACUUAACACACAUUUUUCUCUCAGAAAAGAAAAAACGAUACUCAUCUUAUGUUACUCUCUGACACUCAUCUUAUAUUUUACUGACAUAGCCCCUUCAUUGUUACUGAGAAAUCAAAUUAUCCAGCGUUCAAUUUCUUAUGAACAAAUGCUAGUGAUCAUGACGGUAAAAUCUCUGGCUUAGUCAGGGACAACUGCGGGCAGUAACUGGUUAGGUUGGGAGCAGAACUAAUUCAAGCGAAUGCCAACAUAAUCGAACUUCUACAUACUCAUCCGAUUGGUCGAAUGAAGAACAUAUAGAACAUUUUGCAACUUACUGCUCAUUAAGUUUCCUUUGCUAAAAUUCUCUCUUGUACAUGCUUACUAAACAACAUGCAAUGACAGUAGCAAUAAGCCAACCGGAAUUAAUAAAAAGCUCGAUGGUUCGAAAUGUCUUGCUGCAAUCUAGCUCAUUCUCUUAACAAUUGUUUUCAUCAUUCAGGUCAGAGUAAUGACUUACACCGAUGUUGUCGCAUCCCCACAUGGUGCUCAAUUGACAAACAUGCUUUUCAUGGACAGAAACAGUAGUGUGAUGGAGUUCUUCCCUAAAGGAUGGUUAGAGCUUGCCGGAGUGGGUCAGUACGCACAUCACUGGAUGGCAGACCAAUCUGGCAUGAAUCACCGAGGUGCAUGGUGGGAUCCACUGGUCAAAAAGGAAUGUCCAUUUCCUCAACAAGAUCUAGAUUGCUUUAAUUUUUACAAAAAUGGGAAAGUUGGUCACAAUGAAACCCAUUUUGCAGAGUGGGCAAGAAUUGUUCUCGACCAAGUUAGGAUAAGCAAGAUGCAAAUUGCCACUAGGAGUCCCACUAACAAGCCACAGCCAAACUCAAUUGCCUGCAAGUGCUAGUGUAUUUGUUCACUUGGCAUUUUACAAUCUUAUAAUAUAGGGCACAGUUGAAUGGUAACAGCAAAAUUUGACGAAAUAAUGCUUUGUUCUUGUACAUGAGAAACAAGAGGAAAACAUGCCGUGAUAUUCUCUUUAUAUAGCAUUCAACUACAAUUAUAAGGAAUUUUUCAAAUGUCGCAUUAAAAUUGAAGAAGCUGCGGGGAAGAUUUACGAUUGAACCUGCAUUUUAACUCUCUCUUUUUUAAUUAAUGUGGGUGUCCGGACCAGUUUGCGCAUACCUCGACUAAUUCCACGGGUCUUAAAGUUAACGAUCAUGUAAACCUCCAAUGCCCCUGAGGUUUGUGGGAUUCGAACAGGUGAUUUUUAGAAAGCAAACCUAGAUCCUAACCAGUUAAGCUACACCCCUCAGGAUUCCUGUAUUUUAACUCUUGAUACAUCCAAAGGAUGGGCAUUGCUUUAAAAGAUACUUUGGUGCUCAAUAGACCUCAUCUUCUAGACAUUUUGGACCACAGAUAAACCACCAAGAAACCAAACAGUGCAAAAACAACCACAUGAACAAUAUGGUUUCCACCAUUCUUGAUGAUACUCUUGUUUAAUUUCCUAAGGUUGUUCUUCACACCAACUUGAGCUUUCAUCACAGUCAUUUGCUGUUAUGUCAUUCAAAGGAAGCUUUCAGAAGGCAGUUGCAGAUUUUUGUAAUGGACCAAUGUUUCAUUUAUCCAUUUCCUUUCCUAAAAAUAAAUAUUCAACAUUUCAAGUUGUUUUCUGUAUCUGAGAAUCAGUAUUUUCAGUAAUGGCCAGAUAACUGUCCUCUUCUUUUACAAUAUAAUGCGCUAUCUCUAAAGUUCAGUAAUUUUAUCCACCAUUUCCUUGCCCUUUUAAAAUUUCACACGGCCAUUGUGUUUUGUUUCAAUUUUUUUAUUAAAAAAAAAAGGUUGAAAUAAGCAGACUAGCAAUUCAAAAAGAAAUCAUUAUAUCAUAGGAGUGGCAACGUUGAGCAAACCAAAAACAAAAAGAUGGCAGAGGUUAAUGUGCACAAAUGGAGAAAAAAAAAAAAAAAGGUUUAAGCAUAUACCAGAGUCUCUAAGAAAUCCUUCUCAUAUUUUGCUUCUGAUUCUAUCACUUGAGCCACCUACACCAUAUGAUUAAAUUGGAGCUUGAACAUUACAACAGAGGAAACUUCAAACAAUUCUGCACUCAAACUGACCACAUCAGAUGGUAAUGUUAAAUUUCAAAUGGAAAGAUCUUCAUCAUAAAAAUAUGCGAACAAUAUAAACACAGAAAAACCAUCAACAGCAGUUUUUAUUUUUGCAGGAAAUGUGCCCAAAUUCCAUACGACAACAAACACAGACCAAUCCUGGCUUCGAUUGCCAAGAAUGGCAUGCAUGUACUUCCUCAGAGUCUUUAAAGCAAUCAAUCCACCAUAAUUCCUUCUUCACUGGGAAAAACCCCAAGAAAGGACCUUAUCUUGUUUCUUCUUUUAUUAAAUAUAAUAAAAUAUCCAAUAACAAAUUGACAACAGUUUUGUAAAAUCCCAUGAAAGAACAAUUUCACAAACCCAGAGUUGAUCAAUCACAGACAUCUUCAACUAUGACCAAAGAUCAUAGAACUUAGGGUCUUCGAUACAACCUUGACGGUCUUUUUCUCACUCCACGACUCAUCUUCCUGGCAUGCACAGUUAACAUUUCAAAUGCACUAGAAAGCCAGCCUAUACUAAACCAGUAGGAACAGAUGUCAUAAAAACAAACCCCGAAACAACAUCUUACAUGGCAAGGAGAAACAGCAAGUGGAGCUGCCCAAAUUUGCAACACAGCCAGGCUUGUUUAUUUGAUUGAGUAUUAGAAAAUCUAAUCUUUAAUAAAUCACUCCAUUUUACAGCCCUCGAGCAAAAUAUUAGUUCAACAAUACAGAAACAUGUCCGCUUUUUUCCAGAGGAAUUGCUUUUCCUUCAUUAAGCAAGCUCAACAAUUUUUAUAUAUAUAAAAAAUAAAAAUAAAGAGGAGCUUACGUUUCUUAAUUGCCUAACUUGGCUACGAAGGCCAGUGAUCUCAUCGUCCAAAUCCCAAUGGAUCGGGUCAAUCCGCAAUUGUAUUUCAUCGGAGCUCGCCACGGGUCUCGUGCUAAGUCCCUCUCUACAAACAUUUGAAAAGAAUUAAUAAAGGAAUCAUAAACCCUAAAUUUGAGAAUAACAAAUACCUUGAUCUGUAAGGAGCAGCGCCUCUUUAAAAAGAACCGCCUCUUCGGUUCAAACUAGCCUCCGUUCAACAAAAACUUUUUUCCUUGAAGCAAAUUUGAGUGGUGAAGCCAAAUUAAAAAGGCCGGAGAUUUGCGCGACUUUUAAAAUUCGAAAAAUUGGCGGGUGGCGUUUUUUCGAGCGAGUUUCGAAAAUUUUACAUUCCACGUAUUAAUUAUUUUUUAAAUAAUUUUAAAGAAAAAUAAAUAAAUAUAUAUAAAAUUUAUAAACUAUUAAAAGUAAUAAAAAUAUUUUCAACGAAGAUUUAUUUUUUAAUUGUAUUUAUUUUUUCAAAUAAAUUUAUAAAAUAAGUAAUAAAAUAUCAUUAAUUAUUUCAUACCAUUAUAAAAUUUCCUAUUUUUAAGUGUAUCAAUAGUAUUUUUUUCUCAAACAGUAAAGUGCAUUAUUUACUUGGCUUUGAUUCUCAACUUACACGUGCAAUCAUCUCGUGAUUGUGAUCAUACAAUAAAGUUAUUUAUUAUAACUUUGAUCGUGGUGUUUAUAUAUUUAGUUUUGAGAAAGAAACUCGAUGAAGAUGUUUUAUAUCUUCAACUAUGCUGGAAAAGAUAUAUUAAAGUUUAAAAAUUAUUUUAUUUGAUUUUAUUUUGAGUUUUUAAGUUAAUUAGAAUAUACUUUGUUAUUAUAAUGGGUUUAUAAAGGUUUUAUGUACUUGGGUUAAAAAUAUUUGGAAUCUAGAUUAUUGGAUUCAAAAACUUGAAAUCAAGUACUCGAGCCACCUCAUGUAAUUGAAAAUGUUGGUAGACAAAUGUGCAUCAUUUGCCCGAAUGGGUGAUGCGGUGUCUACCAUUUAAGAAAAAAAAUAUAAAAAUGUGCCCCACCACCCUACCCUACCCUACCCCCUCUUUUUUAUCCUUGGGUGCUUAUGCUCCGUGUUGAGAAAAGAUUCCUACCUAGUUAUUAAACCUGAUGUAGAGGUUAAUCUAGUUAAGAGAUUGGUCCGAAUUUUAUAAGUCAAUCUGAAAAAAUUAAAAAAAUUAAAAUUUUAAUAUUUCAUAAGAAAAAAUCCAUGUAAAUAUAGGUUAUACAUAUCGUAAACAAUAGAAUUUAAAAUAAUAUUUUAAAAAGUUUUUUUAUCUCACAUUAAAAAGAUAUUAUGUUAAGCUUUUAAGUUGAAGUAUUUAAAUCAAAAAAAAAAUUUAUCCCACGUUGAAUAAACAUAACUUUUUUAUUGGGAACAUAGAGUAUAUAAAUUAAUAGGUUUCAAAUCCCACAUUGAAAAAACAUAACUUCUUUCAUGGGAAUAUAGAGUAUAUAUACGAAAGAGUUUCAAAUCCCACAUUGAAAAGAUACUAUAUUAUCCUUUUAAGUUAAAGUAUUUAAACCAAAAGGUUUUUUAUCCCAUAUUGAAAAAACAUGACUUUUUUCUUAGGAACAUAGAGUAUAUAUAGUUAUAUACUAAUGGGUUUCAAAUCCCACAUUUGAAAAGAAAAAAAAUACCAGGUCUCGUUCUGGUUCGUCCGGGUCAUGGGUCGACCCGCUGGGUUGCCAAGGUUUGAUCGGGCUGUUGCCCCAGCCGGUCUUUUAAUAAACCCGGACCGGUCUAGCCACCAGGUUGACCCGCCGGGCCGGGCCGAGUUUAAUAACAUUGAUUCCUAGUGGUAGGAAUAGGAUACCUAAUGUUCGUAUCUUUUGGUAAUUUCCCCUGUUCCCAGCCACAAAUACUUGAUUUUGUGUUUCGUAAAUGUCAACAAUUACUUGAACUCCACUUAACCAAAAAUACCUAAUCACUUAAUUAUCUCUUAACUACUCUUAAAUUCUAAAAAAUCACUUAUUCUUAAGAUUAUAGAAUUUUAAUAAUACUAGAAUUCCUGGGGACUCUAAAUUUAUAUAGAUCUAAAUCCUAACUGACGUUGAAUUUUAAUAGCAAACUUGUUUAGUUUUAAAAAAUAUCUUAAACUACAAUAUCUAACACAAUCUAGGACUGCAAGAGGAAACGUUUCGAAUGAAGAUCCAAAUGGUAAGAGAAGAGUACUCCACCCUUGCACAAGUCUAGGACUGUAAGAAAUUAAGCAGAGGAGAGAACUUGUGAGGAAAAUACGUGUCCAGAUCUGGGUUGAUCCGAAACUUGUAAAGGAAGGAAAUCAAGAUCCAACGGAUAAGAGAAGGCUACUACAAACAGCUGUGAGGGACUGGGAGGGUUCUCACAACUCACAAGUAUCAAAAGGGUUUUUGGCUCGGCAGCUCAAGACUCGGAGCCAAGCCCCCAGGAGAGAACAUCAUGGAAUGUGAAACACAAGAAACUUUUUUAAAUAAUAUUAGCGUCUUUUAUGGGAAUACACACAAUUACAUUUUCUUAUAUAAUUUAAAUUAAUAUUUUUCCUAUGAAAACUCUUUUUUAUUAUCAUAUAAUUAAAUAUAUAAAAAAAUUAAAAGUGCCCAUCAUCACAAGGUUAAAUAUCUCCACUUGUAUUUAUUUUUUACUUUCAUGUUUUAUUUUUUAGUUAGCAUCAACAACAUUUUUUUGAUGAUUUACUAGCUUAUUGAAAAAAAAAUUAAACUCACACAUUAACUUUUAAAUUUUCAAUUAAUAUUUUUUUAUAUUAAAAAAUGUUUUCACGAUACAUACUAAUUUUCUCUCAUGUUAAAAAUUAAUUUUAAAACAACCAUCUAGGUGGUGGCCUAGUAGUAAGAGCUUGGGACCAAGAGGUUUGCUCCCUCUGUGGUUUCAGGUUCGAGACGGCCACUGGAGGCUUACAUGGUCGUUAACUUCAGGGCCCGUGAGAUUAGUCGAGGUGCGCGCAAGCUAGCCCGAACACCCACAUUAAACUAAAAAAAAUAAUUUAAAACGGGUAAUUGACUAGUUUUUUAUACGGUAAGAGUGUUAAAUUCGUCCUUGAUUUUCCUUUUUGGUGGCUUUCUGUUUUUUUUGUUUUUUUUUUUAAUUCGGCGGCCUUUUCCUUUCUCACAUGGUCAAGUCAAUUGGAAGCUGUGUGAUAAUUAAAUUCUCUAAUGCACAGUAACCUAAGAACAACUCAAGGGACGUGGCAAAAGAAAAGUAAAAAAUAAAAAAAAUAUUAUUUUAAUUUUUCAAUGUUUAUUUCAUGUGCUCUAAGUGUACUGCUAAAUAAAAUAUCUAAAUGCCUUUUCUCUUCAAAUAAAUGGUACUUCUAUAUAUUUAGUCAAAACCAAUAAAGUAAGGUCAAUAAAAAAAAAUAAACCAAUUAAAUACUGUGUAGGAAAAUGACAUUGAUUUUUUUUUAAAAAAAUAAAACACUUAUUCUUACACUUCAAUAAAAUUAAUUUUUCAAAUAGGUUUUUUUUAUUAAAAUAGACAUAACAAAAAAAAUUAUAUUUAUAUUAUUUAAAAUACUAAUUUAUCAAUUUGACUCUUCAAAACAAAAACAAAGAGAUGCUCUAAGAUGUAUAUUUCCAUUACCCAUAGAUCACAACCUUUAGUCAUGUCUGACGCACAUCCUCCACCAUCGAUUAGUUUGACCUUCGAGGAAUCCAAUGCUGCCCAAUAAACGACUUUCACUGUCAAACAAAUUACACGCGUUGUUUGGAAGUUUCCAUCAAUCCAUGUCCAUCAACACCCUUCUCGUAAACGCAGAAAUAACACGCGAUGUCUGGCUAUAAAUUUUUGCCCUCCAAAGCCACAGGUAUCACAGCCUUUCUCUCUCCUAUAAAAAAUCCCCAGACAGAGAGAGGCAUCCCCAAAUUUUGCAAUAUGGGAAGUGAAGCUGAGAUUCCUAGAAAGCCCAGGUUUUUAUGCCUUCAUGGAUUUAGAACAAGCGGAGAAAUUCUGAAGACACAAGUGCACAAGUGGCCUGAAUCAGUGCUUCAAAUGCUCGAUCUUGUUUUUCUAGAUGCCCCUUUUCCUAGCCAAGGAAAAUCAGAUGUGGAAGGAAUCUUUGACCCUCCUUAUUAUGAGUGGUUCCAAUUUAACAAGGUCCAAAUCCUUAUGCAUCAACUGUAUAAAGUUCAAUGAAAGAAAUUUGAUUUUCGAAUAAUCUUUAUAUCUAAAAAGAUAAAUUUAUAUUGUUUCUCUAUGGUUUGAUUUUGAUACUCGGUUUGUUUUGGUAUAUAUUUGUUUUUAAUUUGAAGAGAUGUUUGGUGUGUUUUCUUCCAGGAAUUCAGUGAAUACACUAAUUUUGAUGAAUGCCUUGCUUAUAUCGAGGAUUUCAUGAUCAAGAACGGACCCUUCGAUGGCCUGCUUGGUUUUUCUCAGGUGGGUGAAAAACUGUAUUCUUUAUCUGUUUCCACAUAUAUAAAGAUUCUAUUUGGUUGCAGAGAAAAUGCAGAAAACUGUGAUGAUUCUUGUUGUUUACAUUUUACUCAUGGCUAAUUUAAUAUCUUCAUGUAACUUAUUCACUGGAUGUGCAUAAAUGAUACAGGGCGCAAUUUUAUCGUCUGGGCUUCCCGGAUUGCAAGCGACGGUUAGUUGAAGUUGCUCAUUUUUUAUUUUUUAAAUUCUAAUUUAUUUGUUACAGAUGAGAGGCUUGAAACCCGACAUCUCUAGGAAGGAGAAUAUGAAUACAAGUCACUGGCAGCCUCUAGUUUAUUAAUAGAAUUAUAAUAAUGCUAGAUGAUUUAUUGGGCUGUUUGCUGUUUCCUUUUGCAGGGUGUGGCUCUAACCAAAGUGCCCAAAAUAAAGUUUCUGAUAAUAAUUGGAGGAGCUAUGUUUAAGUCACCAUCUGUGGCUGAGAAAGCAUAUGAUUCCCCAAUUGAAUGCCCAUCCCUCCACCUUUUAGGUAUCUUAUCUCCAUUUAUUGUUUCUUUCUAUCAGUAUAGAGUUCCAUAUCUUUUGCCAUUACUCCUUUAGCAGCAUUGAUAUGUACUAAUGAGGCAUUUCGGGCUCGUUGUUUAUAAAUGAAACGGUUAACAAUCAUUGUGAAAAGAAUACAAAACAAAGCUGUAUAUAAUUGAAUUCAGAAAGAACAUAUUUGCUAAUGUCAUCCUGCCUGUUUGUUGCAGGGGAGACGGACUUCUUGAAGCAAUAUGGUAUGGAACUCUUGAAAUGUUGCGUAGACCCUGUUGUGAUUCAUCAUCCUAAGGGUCAUACGAUACCAAGACUUGGUGAGUACUGAAAUGUGAAUCACCCUUCUUUCUGUUUUGCUCUAACAGGAGGCUCAAUGCAUCUUGUGCUAUUGUAAUAAGGGAUAGAUCUCCGUCAAUCAUUAAAUCUUAAGUGCAUCCUUCACAUGAUUUGGAUCUAAAAUCUUCAAGUGUAAAUCCCAAGUCUUAAUUGCUGAUGAGGGACCCAACAACUCCUUUAUCUCUCGUGUUUCUGCGUGUUGCUUAUUGCAUUUCUAUCAUUGUUAUUUACUAACAGGCAAUUAUUUCUCUUCUUCUUUCAGAUGAAAAGGGUUCGGAAACCAUGCUGAGCUUCAUUGACAGAAUUCAAAACAUGUUACUAGACAAGUAGAUAAUGGUGGUGCUUAUUUAGCGCACCAUCGAUUCACUUUAAGCGGAUCAAUAGUGUAUGAUGGCUAGCCAGAGCUAGUAGUGAUAUUAAUCCAGUGCCACCAUGUAUUUUUUUAAUGCAAUUUUACAGUUUCCGCCCCAUUCAUGCUCUUAUUGUUGUUUCUAUCUGCUGCCUUACAGGCGCUUUCUUCUGAGUGAGCCUGUGUACUGGUAUUUUAUGAAUCCAAGUCAUUAUUUUCCAGACGAUGAUGCAGAGUUUGUAUUGGUAGCUUGAUAAGUAAAGUGGCUUUAUCUGAAUCCAUUAGUUUCUGUUUGCAAAGCGAGCCCGCUCGCCAUUCAAUUUUACACAAGCCAUGUUCUCUGACAGAAUCCACUUAUAUAAGUAAAAUAAUUAGUUUUACCAGUUGUCUCUGACAGAAUCCACUUAUACAAGUAAAAUUAUUAGUUUUAACAGAUGUUCGGGUUGUUUUCAGACUUGUUAAAUCAACUGAGUCUCAUUAAAACAUUUUUUUAUCUUAUUUAAUUUUAAAUCUGAACUGAAAAAAAAAUCUUAUUAAAAGGUUUCAGGUUGAUUCAUUUUACUAGGUUUAAUAAAAAUGAUAAAUGGUUUAUUAUGGCUCAAGGGUUUUUUUUACAUUUUUUUUUAUUCAUUUAACUUGGGUUGAUUUGUUAUUUUUACUAGUUAUUUGGGCUGUUUUUUUUUACAUUUUUUAAAUCUAUUAUUUAAUCCUUGUUGUUUUUUAAUUUUAUAUUUUGAUUUUAAAUUUUAUUUUUUAUACGUUUUAGUCUCUACAUGUUGAGAGAGAAAAGAAAAUUAUCAAAAAAUAUUGAAGAAAAAAAAUACUCAGAGAUACGACAUUUCAUGAGUAAAAAAGUUAAUCAUAGUGUUAAUAAGUUUGUUUUUUUUUUUUUAAGAAAAGCUCAAUGUAGGUGGUGGUGUCCUUUGAUUAUAUCGGAAAAAAAUAGAUUAAAAUCCUUAAAUUUUUUUUAACUUGUUUAAUUUUCAUUUUUUAAUAGAGAUCAAAUAUCAUUUUGGAGUUGAAAAUGGAUCUGAAAGUUUAUUGGAUGUUUCUAAAUGAAUUUCUUUUUUUAAAAAAUAGUUUUUGAACUCGAAAAACUUGGGCUCUAAUUUUUUGAUAAUUAAAAGUCCAGCUUGCGAUAAUAAAUGACUUAUCAUUUAUUAAAAAUAAAAAAAACUUGAGUAGAAAAAACAAACUUAUUAGCCCAGUAUUGCAUGAUUUUUUAUAAAAAAUUUCUCUUAUUUCUUAUUUGUUUAACUCUAUAUAUUUUUUUGAUAUCUUAAUUAAUACCUUAUCUCUUUUCUUGUUGUUUUUUUAAAUGUUUGGUUUAUCUUUUUUUUUAAUAGUAAUUGGUAGUUUUUUUAAUUUCAUAAUGAUUUAAACGAAAUAUUUUAAUUUAUCUUUUAUUUUUAUUUUUUAGAAAUAAAUUAAAUUUACAUUGUAUAUUUAUAAAAAUAAAAAUUAUUUGCUCUUAAAAUUAAUAUAUAAGAUAAAAAAUAUAAAAAUAUUUAAAAUAAAAAAACAUUUGAGGUUAAAUAUUGGCAUGUAUAUCUAUUUAUCUUUUGUUUUUAUUAAAAACAUUAGCCUUUUAUUUUAAUAUUUAAUUAAUAUUAACAAUUUUAUUUUUAAUUUAUUAAUCCAUAUAUUUUUAAUUUAUUAAAAUACAACAUCUUUAUUUUCUCAAUAAAAAAAGUUAUAAGAAAAAAAAUCCAUACUACCAAUAAGUUCUUCAAUUACCCUAGAAAUGAACUUUUAAUUCUAUCCACAGCACUAGGAAAAAAAACAUUCGCAAGCACUGGUUUUUUUAAUUUAGAUUUGUUUUUAGGCUUUCAUAAAUAUUUUUUAAAAAAUUAUUAUUUUUUAUUUUAAAUUAAUAUUUUUAAAUCAUUUUAAUACACUAAUAUUAAAAAUAAUUUUUUAAAAAUAAAAAUAAUUUAUUUUAAUAUACUUUUAAAUAAAAUAUAUUUUAAAAACAACCACAAUUAAACUAUAGCCCGGCGUGCUAACGAUCGAAGUAAAAUACAUUGCUAAAGCCUAAAAGGAUCAAUUCCAUCAGGGAAUUCUAGAAGAAUCAUGUGGGCAGCGGGCAAUAACGAUGACGAUGGUGAUUCGAAAGAGUAGCAGUAGAGCAAUGACAUGCUUAUUUCUAUCUCAAUUACCUCCCACGCUCUCUCACCAUAACCACUCCUUUUCCAUUUACAAAUCCUGUCGCUCUCUCUCUAAAACUCCCUCGGUAACUUAGCGCUCGCUCCCUCUCUCAAACCGGCACAUCUCUACAUAACUAACUAACACAGCCUUUAAUCACACUCCUUUUUUUUGUUUGUUGUUUGUUUAUUAGGAUUUUCUAGGUUCAAUCUGGUGUCCCACAGUCUGUGCAGCUCCUACAAUUCGUUCAUUUAGUUCAAAAUUCAGCGAAUCCAGCACCACCGCAAGAAUGCAAAAUCCAGAGUCCAUAUCAUACCUAACUCAGCGAGAAGCUGCUGAAGUCGAUGAGAUUCUCAUGGGCCCGCUCGGCUUCAGCGUCGAUCAGUUGAUGGUCACUCUCAAUCUUUAUCUCGAUUUUUUUUUAUCAUUGUUAUUAUUAUUAUUCACAGACUCAAUUUUUCAUUUUGCUGCUUGUUUUUCUUUUAGGAAUUGGCUGGAUUGAGUGUUGCUACUUCAAUAGCCGAGGUAUUGCCGAAUUUUUAUUAUUUCUAUGAAAUCGAGUUUAUAAAUAAAAUUGUUAUUAACCUUUAUUAUUAUGAAUCAAAGGUGUAUAAACCUAGCGAAUACAGUCGUGUUCUUGCAAUCUGCGGUCCAGGGAAUAAUGGCGGUGAUGGUUUAGUGGCAGCUCGUCACUUGCAUCAUUUUGGAUACAAACCAUCCGUUUGUUAUCCAAAACGGACUCAAAAACCUCUUUAUAAUGGUCUUGUUACUCAGGUAAGGCAUUCAUCUGGUCUCGAAUUGAACUGUUUAAAUUAUAGUAAAACAUUGGAGUCCCAUUACGAUGUUGUUUUUUUUUGGUAGUUGGAAUCACUGUCAGUCCCUUUCCUUUCAGUGGAGGAUUUGCCUGUGGAUUUGCCUGAAGAUUUUGACAUUCUAGUAGAUGCAAUGUUCGGGUUCUCAUUCCAUGGUAAUUACUUGUCUCAGUGCAAACUUUGUCGUGAUUUUUCUAUGACUGUAUAUACAUAUAAGUGUCUCAACAACUCGAGAUUAUUGUUAUACAUUCUUUAUGUGAAGUAUAUUAAGAUUGCAUGCUAAUGCUUGAUAUGAAAAAUGCUGUAGCAAUACUGAAAUAUAGUUCUUUUCAAGUUGCUAUAGUUUGGUUUAUUUUUCCUUUGAUAUUCUAUGUACUUGAGCAGCCUAGAGUGACUCUGCAAAUUCAGAGGUGGAAGUAGAAAAUAUAAAUUGAGGGCUGGCAUAAAAAUGUGAAUGACGAACAUGAAAUUAAUAAAAUUAAACAAGGAUCAAAGAGAAAAUAUGCUAGUUUUGGUGUACCAUCAAAUGCACUCCUCAUAUGAAACAUCACGAAGUACAUGUUUGGUAGGAGGGUAAAGGGGAUAAAAAUUACCUUUGUAAGGAGGAAAACUAUUAAUGGAGGUUAAAAUCUAACUCAAAAAAGGGGUUAAAUGUUAAACUUGUGUGGAGAGGGGUAAAUAAAUUUUGAGGGGGGGUGUUUUAGGUUUUGUGCCAUUCCCUCUUUUUUUUUCACAUAUAUAAUUCAACACUAUUAUAUUCCUUUUUUCAUCUCCUUCUAUUUUACACCAAAAUUUUAAGUUAUUUAAUUUUUUACUAUUCUAUUUAAUUUAAAAUUUGAUUUUAUCUUUUUGGGGACCCAUUAUUAUCCAUAAUUUUUCUACCUCCCACCAAGUGUCCUUAAGACUUCAUCCUUUAACCUUUUUUACACUCUUUAACACUUCACCUUUAAAUCCCAGCCACUCAACAUUUCUCCUUUAAAUUUUUCACCCCAUACCAAACACAACCUAAGGGUCAAAUUAGGAAAUUUUAAAAAUCAGGGGUGCCAUGGUCCCCCAGUGCAAUAUGUAGUUCCAUCCCCAUGCAAAAUCAACUCAUCAGAGCUUAGAAACCUCAAUUGUUUUAUUUAUUUGAUUCUAUAAUUUGCCUGGAUAACUUCUUUAUCUAUCAUGCAUCAAAAUUCUUACUGCUGACAUGAAUUUAAUCAUGUUUAUUAUCUGACUUUCAACAUUUUCAAAUAUUUUUCAGGUUCCCCAAGACCACCUUUUGAUGACCUAAUCCAGAAGCUGGUGCAAUUGUGUAAUUUUGCUCAAAAUCACCAAAAAUCCCCUGUAACUGUGUCUGUGGAUAUUCCAUCUGGAUGGCAUGUUGAAGAGGGUGAUGUUAGUGGUGAGGGAGUUAAGCCUGAUAUGUUGGUAUGUUUUUAGUGGAGACAUUUGUAUCAUACUAUUACUGCUUCAAUAUUCUGAAAGAUUGCAGAUACUUUUCCAAAAAAUAAUCCAAUUUAAUUAUAUUCAAACCAUCUUAUUGAUACAACUUUAGUAUUAUCUAGGUUUCUUUGACUGCUCCAAAAUUGUGCGCAAAGAAAUUUACUGGUCCACACCACUUUCUAGGGGGUAGAUUUGUCCCAUCAUCUAUUGUGGACAAAUUUAAGCUGCAUCUUCCACCUUAUCCAGGAACUUCCAUGUGUGUCAGGAUUGGAAAGCCUCCACAAAUUGAUAUAUCAGCUCUCAGACAAAACUAUAUUUCUCCAGAAUUGCUUGAGGAGCAGGUGGCGGCUGACCCCAUUGAUCAGGUAUGAACACUGUUGUUGGCCAUUUACUUAAGUAUUCUUUCCCUUAGAUGCCUGAGUUGACAGCAUAACUGUUAACACAUUGCUGUUCAGAGUUUUUCCCUCUCCCAAUCUCUGCUCUUGGUCUUUCACAAUCACUGGAAAAUUAUUUUGCUGUAUUCUAAAUCUGCCAUUUUCUAUCUUGCAGUUUCGUAAAUGGUUUGACGAAGCAUUGGCUGCUGGGUUGAGGGAACCAAAUGCUAUGGCCUUGUCAACUGUUGGAAAGGAUGGAAAACCGUAUGUUGCUCUUCGUUUGCUAUUCAUUGUUGAUAGUUUGUUAAAUUACAAUCCAAGUUAACAUGCAUGCUACUUUUGAGGGUAAUGAUUGGAUGCAUUGUUUGCUUCUUUGUUUAGUGGUUCAUGUGAUCUGAUUUACAGUGAAAUGGUUUCACUUCUACAUCUAAAUUCAGAUUACUCUUGUAUUACUAAUUUCUUAAGAACUCAUGACACAGUAAACUAUAAAGAAUGUUAGACCAUGUAUACUUUCUUAAUUGGGUUCUUCAAUCUGAAUUUGAAGAGGGAGCUUAUGGACCCACAAGGAUACUUAUCCACCCUUACAAUUUAUGGAAACUUUGAAGCUUGUGCAACAUUUCUUAUGGGAGUUCCAAGUAAUGACUGAAUUGCCACGUAAAAUAUAAGACUUUUGAAAUAAAUUCACAGAUUUGAUGUAGGCACCAGUACAUGGAUCUCUUUUAGGUGGUUUACAGGCAAUUGAAAGGCACAAAACUAUGUGGAGUGGGUUGGCUCCUUUGGAGUUUGUAAAAAGGACAAAUGUGAGUUGGAACUAGACAAGGAAAUCCAGUUCUUAGGGCUGGUGCAGGUGCUGUUUAUGGUACUUUUAGAAAGUCUUUUUUUUAUAAAAAAAAUUGAUUAUAAGAUGGAUUUGGAUUACAAAGGUAAGAUUUCUUGGGCUUGUAUGGGUGAAAAAGAUAAAUAAUUUUUACAUACCUUCCUCGGUGCGAUUAAAGAAAUUAAUGCUAUAAUCAUCAUUUUUGGAUUUCCUUGGGCAUAGGACCCAAUGUUUUCUGGACAUUACUCCUUGGGUCAGGAUUGCAUCACAUAAUCUCAUAUAGAUGGCUCAACAACUUGACAUGUUCGUAAAACUAGCCUCCUUCUCGAUUGAUAUCAUUACAUGAGACUUGUUAGGUAUCUUAAUUAUACAAAUUCUAGACUCCUAAGCUUUAACUAGAACAAUCUACCAAGACUCGAGGCGUAUACAAAGAACAUAUAUACGAGUGGGCUCAGAAACUUUCAAUCAAAUUGAAUUUUCAGCUGUCAAGUGUGAUUUUAGAAUCCUAACAGAAGUUGUAGAUGAGUUACUCUCCAUUUCUCGAAGAGUUUUGUCUCUGUUUGGUAUUAUCAAAAAGUCAAAAGCAUCUCUUACUCUUCACUUUUGCUUCUCAUUUAAAACUAACUCAGUUCUUUCAUGAAUUGAAAAUGAAAGGAUUUGCUGUUCAAACCUUUGUUCUACUUUUUUCUGUUAAUAAAAUGCAUAGCUGGCUGUUUUGUAGAAUUAAUUGUCAUUUUUCAAUCAUAUUAAGGAUUAUGUGGAAGAUCUGCACAUCGAAUGUUCUUUCAACGUUGUCAGAUGUCUGUAAAGAUGCUGGAAUGACUAUAUGAUGACUCCUUAUUUAUGUAUAGAAUUUGUUUAUCUAACAGCCACCACUUGUCACGUUACUUUUUGCAACAGCUCAUCAAGAAUUGUGUUGUUGAAAGGAGUUGACAAGGAUGGGUUUGUUUGGUAAGUGUUCUUCUGCUACUAUUGGUGGCAAUAGUGAGAUUAGAAAUGGUUUCAUGACUGCUCGUGGUUUUAAAAAUUGCUGCAAAUUUUACCCUUUUCAGGUACACCAAUUAUGAAAGUCAAAAGGCGCAUGAAUUAUCUGAAAAUCCCCAAGCAUCACUCCUCUUCUACUGGGAUGGUCUUAAUCGGCAGGUAUUCCAAGCAUCACUCCUCUCUCUCUCUCUCUCUUGGGGGAAGGGGUUUUUUGAGGAUUCGCCAAACAGAAGGAUGGUGGGAGGAAUUUUAUUUAUAUCAUAUUCAUUGUUGUAUGCUGUAUGUGAGCUUAUAUUAUAUACUGAUCUAGUAGACAACUGUGAUGGGUAUUUUACAUGUGAGAUUGGACAAAAAGUGUAAUUUCUUAAGGAUUACUGAAACUAAAAAAGACCCUGGUUUUCAGUUUCAUGUGCUUUCCAUUGAUCGUUAUUGUUGGGUUGUGGUUUACUUAGUUGCCUGCUGAUAGAUCUGUGCUGUAGUCUUUCUGCAUGUUUUUUUCUGUCACAUCUGUUUUGGGAGAUUUGAAAAAACAUAUGACCCUGUAGUUUAAGUACUUUUCUGUUAUUCCAUUUGUCCACGGGGUAGCUUUUCUUUUCUAGUUAAAGUUAGCUCAGAUGAUUAAAUCUCAAAUAAUUUGUGGACUUGCCUAAAAAUAUCCAUGUUGAAUCUGGUGCUACACUUGCGGUAAAUAUUUAGCAGCUGCAAUAUGGCAUCACAAUUUGCUCACACUCAGUUUAAUUAGUUUUAUCAAACAUACUGAGAAUCUAUCGCUGUAGGUCUGUUGUCAUUGUAUAUAGGACAUAACUGAUUGUCCCAAAUAACAAUGCUGCAUUGUUAGUUGUGGGAAUUAGGUAGGAGAGGAAAAGCCGUAUUUUGCCAUUGUCAAGAGCAUGAUGUUAGCAAUCCAUCAAUGAUGCUUGUUGCCUAAGUAUGACCAUCAAUUAACAAUGAAUUAUGCUAAGCAUGAUGUUAGCAUUCCAUCAAUCAUGCUUGUUGCCUAAGUAUGAACAUCGAUUAACAAUGAAUUAUGCUAACCAUUAUCCUAUAUUGCAUGAUAUUUAGGCUAUCCUUCCACUCCACUGUAGGCCUGGUUCUAAAAUCCAUAUACGGUUAUAUAAACAUGAAGUAUGCUAAGAAUUAUGCAGAAAAUAUUUUCUGUUUUCAUAUUGGGUCUGUUGCUUAAAUGCAUGAUAACUGUGAUUUUUAGGUACGAGUGGAAGGAUCUGUGCAGAAAGUUCCUGAUGAGGAAUCAGAACAGUACUUUCAUAGCCGUCCUCGAGGGAGUCAAAUUGGAGCAAUAGCUAGCAAGCAGGUUUCUUUUAUUCUUUUCAGAUUGUAUCCAACACAUCAAAAUAUUGGUGUGAGCUUUGUUUAUCAUCUUCUUUCUCCUUUCAGAGUACUAGCAUCCCUGGAAGGCAUAUUCUGCACCAAACAUACAAAGAAUUAGAGGAAAAAUAUUCUGAUGGGUAAGUUGCACUUCUCUUCGUUCUCCUCUGAGAGUGGCUUCAAAUAACUAGCUUUUACAAAUCUGUAAUAUAACUCAGUUUAUUAUUACACACAAGACUAUUUCUGCUACCUUUUUUUUGAAGAAAAUGAUUACUCUGGAUUUUAAGAGUGGUGGUUAGCAAUCUCUUGUUUAAGUGGGUAUGGUUGUUUAAGAGGAAGUAUCAAUAAAAUGUAGUGUUUUUUCCCUGUUGUCUAAGUGCAGAAGUUUGAUUCCAAAACCUAAACACUGGGGAGGGUACAGGCUUAAACCACAACUUUUCGAGUUUUGGCAAGGACAGCAGUCUCGUUUACAUGACAGGUUAGUUUCAUCUCAUUUCUCGUGCUGCAUAUUUAUAUUUGCAUGCAAACAUUGAAUGGAGCAGGUUUAUUAGCAAUCCCCCAUAUCAUACUUUGUUGUCUAUUGUGUUUUGCUGAAUGCUUGAUUGCAUCACAAUUUUACAAAAAUAUAAUUCUCACAGGAAGGUACUCUAUUUGCAUACUAUGAUAUAUAUAUAUAUAUAUAUAUAUAUAUAUAUAUGGAAGUAUUGAGAAAAAUGGAUUUGAAAAGUCUAAAAGUAUUCAUAAUUAUAGAAGACAUGGGUAUUGGGAUUUUACACGCAAAAGAGAGUUUUGGAUAUCAAAUGGUCUUAUGGCAGUUAACUGCAUAGUUAAUUUAUGCAUAAUCUUUUACAGGUUGCAGUAUAUUCCUCAAGAAAUUGAUAGAAAGCUAGUUUGGAAGAUUGUGCGGUUGGCUCCCUGACUAGUACUUCCAGCUUCCUCAUUGUGAAGCCUGUCAUUCAUGAUUUCAUGGUAUUUUGUUAUCUGUUGCCUGUGUUUAGUUAUUUUGGUACAAGUAGCAAAUAGUAUAAUUAUGUUCUCUUUCUUUUCUGUUUAAUUGAUUGUGUUGCUAGACUUCCAAAAGCCUUGUUAGUACCCAGGAACAUAAAUUCUUAUUCAGUGAGGAACCUUGUACCGUAAAUUUAGAUCUUGGAUCGCAGAUCUAUUGGCGAAAUAAUUGAAGUGAAAGGCAUGGGUCGAGGCUGGGUUUAAUUUUUUUGCAAGUUAAUUGGAAGGCAAGCUAUGGAUGAGAAGAGACUAUACUCCAAAAGUUGUGGGCGGCAGAGGUAGGCUGUUGCUGUUAUUUAAUUUAUUGUUACAAGUAUAACGUGUAAUAUGUUUCAUACGAUAGCAAAAACAUAUCUAAAUGGUGGAUGGUUGUGAUUGUUUUUUAAAGAGCUUUUUAUAUGGAAAUAUAUUAAAAUAAUAUUUUUUUUAUUUUUAAAAAAUUAUUUUUGAUAUUAACAUACCAAAAUGAUCUAAAAAUAUUAAUUUAAAAAAAAUUAAUUUUUUUUAAAAAUACUUUUAAAACACAAAAAUAAAUUAAAAUUUAACUAGUAGUUCAAUUUCCUUCCGUAUUGGAGUAGGGUGUGUAUUUUUUAAUUAAAAAUAUAUUAAAAUAAUAUUUUUUAAUUUUUUUUAACAUUAAUAUAUUAUAACCAUUAAAAAAUAUUUAAAAAAAGUAAAAAACAAGUUCAACUAUAAAAAUAAAUAUUUCCUAUUGCAUCUGGUAGAGUCGUGCGUAAUUUUCCAUUUGUUUGUCAUAACUCGUAAGGAUCACCUUGCAAUUAAAAUUACAUAUUACAUUAAGAGCUGGGGUCUUUCAACCUUACCAUCAUGUGGAUUACAAUAAUGCCUGUUUUUUAAGUUUUGAUUUUUAAUUUUCGUUGCAUCCUUUUGUGAGUUGUUUUAGGAGAUGGUAGUUUUUAUUUUCGUGUCCAGAGCUUUAAAGGUUUUUUUGUUAGUUUUUAAAACUUUAUUGGAGAUUAAUUUAAUAUAAGAUAUAGUUUGUAUUUGUAAUGAAAAGAUAAUUAAGAUUUUAUUUGUUUCAUGAAAAGUAGUUUCAGGAAAUUAUUUUUCAAAUUUUCUUAUAUUUAUUUACUAUUAGAAAAGUUGGUAAAAAAAAAUUUAAUUAAAAAAAAGUUUAGCUUGGUUUUCAUAAAAGUAUUUUUUUUUUAAUUUUGGGUGGAAAAUACUAUAUAGCAGUUGUGAAAAAUUUAAAAAUAUGCUAUUGUUUGUUGAUUAUAUUAAAUUUAAUUCUUAAUCUUUUAAUUAUUAUGUAUUUUAUUUUGAUUUUUUUUAACUAUCUUUUAGGAAUGUCAACGACUCAAUAUUUUUUUAAAAAAAUAUGUCAUCUUAAAAAAAAAUUAAAAUAAAAUAUUUUUUUAGAUUGUUCGAGUUGUUUUUUUAAUUUGAUAAGUUUGUAGGGCCAUAUCAAGGUAAACAAUAAAUCACAUCAUGAGUUUUUAGAUAUGAUAUUAAAAAGUUUUCCAUCCAUCACAUGAAUAAUUUUUUUGUUAAAUUUAUUUUUUAUAUACACAACUCGCAACAUAGCCUAUGCAAUAUACUGGUUUAUCUGAUUGUGCUCGAGCAAACUCUACAAAAUCAUGGAUGUACAUCGAAAGAUACUGAUGGGAAGUCACUUUAAUUAGUGGAUCUGUAAAUCUUCCCCUUGUGAAUGACUCCGAAACAAUUGUUCAUCCAGCCAUGAUAUCGGAUGCUUGGCCUUGGAACGGAAGGAAAAUCUGGCUUCUUUUUAAGCAAAAAUGAAGCUACAGCUUCAUUGGAGAGGGUUUCAUCAUCUAUGUUUUGCUGAUGCUGUAAUAUUGGCUAUUGAUCCUGACCAGAACUGGGCUCCACCUCGAUUAUAAAAUAUCUGGAGUUUCUUUUCAAGGUUCUUUUGACCGAACUGAAGCUGAAUUCUGACGCACUACUUUAUGAAAGACCAUUUCGAUGCAAGGUGACCACACCACACACCACUUUCUUUUCAAAUGGGUCAGACCGAGAAGUGUGCGGUGAGUGGAAAAUCAUGGAUCUCAGGUGUUACUUGUCAGGGUGAAAUUCAAAGGCACUGUUUCUUCUGUUGUCGUUACACAUCAACCCCACCCCCACCCCCAAAGAUCCAAGAUCGAGCGGUGGGGGGAUUUUUAGAGUUGUAAAGAGAAUGAUUAGAGGAGUCUCCUCUCUCUUUUUCAAAAAUCAGUGUGUCUGAAAGUAAGGUCUACUGGCCUAUGAUCCAUUAAAUGAACUCGGAGCCACCACAAGUGGGUAGUGCUGUUCGAUCACAUACAUGAUGAGUUGUCAACAGUGAAAGAGAUCAUUAAGGAAAUCUCUUGAAGACCAUCGACUCCAAGAGGAACACCAACUAUUGAAGAGCCCAUCAGCAACCACUAACGAAGGUUGACCCGACGUUAAAUAAUAAGUGGCCACGUCCAGAUCAACAAGUUGAGAUGCCCUAGAUAGAGCAUGUUCUCAUAGAAAAAACUUCGAUCGCCGGGGAUGUAUUUGCUUUAUAUUCCCAUUAUCUCCCCGGGUCAUUUUUCAACCGUCCUUUGGGAGAGAAUAAAAAAGGCCUCUUUUCUUUUUCUUUUUUAAAAUAAAAAUCAUUUUAACUAACUCCUCUAUUUCCACACGUGAAAUUCG
RNAcentral lists this long non-coding RNA (69228 nucleotides) under Populus trichocarpa (black cottonwood). Its description in RNAcentral is "long non-coding RNA (PTRI_LNC000613)". The record is from RNAcentral. Lineage: Eukaryota; Viridiplantae; Streptophyta; Magnoliopsida; Malpighiales; Salicaceae.